This 49122-nucleotide long non-coding RNA is filed under the name Zea mays. RNAcentral's name for it is "long non-coding RNA (ZMAY_LNC002173)". Lineage: Eukaryota; Viridiplantae; Streptophyta; Magnoliopsida; Poales; Poaceae. The record is from RNAcentral.
AGAGAGAGAGAGAGAGAGAUCAAAUAGACUUGAAGGACAUGAGCUGGCGUUUUUUGGUGGAGUUUGGCAACGGAUCAAACACAACUGCUUGGUAAGACGAUGUUGGAUCUUUGGUUGCGAGGUUGAGCUUGUAGUUGGUGCCGGCGACCACCUGUUCCAUGCCACUGACCACCUCGGCGAACUGCAAGCUCUCGCCGGUCUGCCUGUUGUGCUCCUUGACAGCCCAUUCGCCGACACCCUGGACAUAUGGGUCCUUGACGUUCUCUAUUUUGACAUACUAUCCGCUCAGCGUGGUGACACCUGCAGCUCUAGCAGACCUGCAGAUGACCACUACACCAAAAUCAUACACUUCCUACGGUUUUUUAACUUCCUACAAUUUUUAUAAUAAACCGUAGGAAAUAAAUAACUUCCGAGAGACAACUGGUAGCUCUAGGAAAUAAACAUAACUUCACAUGCUGACCCGUGCGUUCUGUCAAGCGAGCCGUUAACUUCCUAGAGGCAGCCGUAGGAAGUUAGCAUGGUCAGCUAACUUCCUAUGGCCUCCUCUAGGAAGUUAGCUUUUAGUUGCUGAUCUGCGGUUGUGGUCAAACAAAAAGCUAACUUUCUACUGCUGACACUAGGAAGUUAGCAUGGGUAGCUAACUUCCUACGGCCUCCUCUCGAAAGUUAGAUUUCAGCUUUUGACCAGUCAAACGAAAAGCUAACUUCCUAUAGCUGGCUUUAGGAAGUUAGCAUGGGCAGCUAACUUCCUACGGCUGGCUUUAGAAAGUUAGCGUGGGCAGCUAACUUCCUACGACCUCCUCUAGGAAGUUACUUAACUUCCUAGAGUACAUGCACAAACUCUAGUAAGUUUUGUAACUUCCCCUCUAGGAAGUUACUUAACUUCCUAGAGUACAUGCACAAACUCUAGGAAGUUUUGUAACUUCCUACGGCUUUACUCUAGCAAGUUAUAUUUUUUAUAUUAAACAUCUACUUAACCUUAUCCUCUUCUCUCCCCUUUCUCACUCCCGUGUCUCUUCCACCAAAUCGAAGCCGCCGCCGUCGCACGUUGCUCCCACCCGCCGCACACCUGCUCCCACCCGCCCCGGCCUCGCCCGCCAUGGCCGCCCCCGCCACCGGCCGCCCCCACCGCGGCCGCCCAAGCUCGCACCCGCUGCGGCUACCCCUAGCCCCGGCCCCGCCCGCCGCGGCCGCCCCCGCCCCUGGCCCCGCCAGGGGAUCCACGCCGAGGACGACUACCCGUACCUCAUGGAAGAAGGCUGUUGCAAAGAGAAACAAGUUCGCACACAAAAAUCUUCACAUGUGAACUGGAUGAUACUAGGAUGCAGGGUUCUAAUCCUUUGCUCUGGCGUGCGUGUUUAGCCCCAAGUUGAUGUCGUCACUAUAACUGGGUACGAGGAUGUCCUAGAGAACAGCGAGAUCAGCCUGCUGAAAGCGUUGGCCCAUCAGCCUGUCAGCAUCGGCAUAACUGCAGGGAGUAGGGACUUCCAGUUCUACAGAGGGGUAAGUAGAACUGACUUGUCUGUAGUAUGGUUGGUUUCAGAUGGUUUCAUCACUAGCUGUCACAGAAGGGAAGUAACAUGUGCGUGUAUACCGAUCGUCUGGCUGGCUGCACUGUAGGGGGUGUUUGACGGGGCCUGCAGCGUCGAGCUCCACCAUGAGCUGACGGCCGUCGGGUACGGCUCGUCGUAUGGCCAGAACUACAUCACCAUGAAGAACUCGUGGGGCAAGAACUGGGGGGAGCAAGGCUACGUCAGGAUAAAGAUGGGCACCGGGAAGCCAGAGGGUGUCUGCGGAAUCUAUACCAUGGCCUCCUAUCCCUUGAAAAAUGCAACACGCUGGGGUACCUAAUUUUUUUGUAAUGAGUUUGUUCGAAAGUAUUAUUUUUAAUAUAAUCCACAUGGCAAGAUGCCUUUUUACCAUUGCUGUCAAGAUCCCAUACUUGAUUUCCCAAAAUCCAUGUUACACUCACCACUCCAGCACGAUAGGAACAACUAUAUAUUGUGAUCUAUCUACACGACUGUCUUGGAAGGCGGUAUAUAAUUGCGCGGCCAAGUGGUAACCAAAGUAUGGUCAGUUAAUCGGAACAACGUGCUCGUCUUCCUUUAACCUCCGCUCCCAAUCUCACCGGCAGGUGUUAAUCAAGUAUUGCUAACGAAGGAUUCACUAUGUUUGGUAGUGAAGGGCGAUGUCCGGAGAGUAAGAACGAGGCGACACAGUAUGGACUCGAUAUGACCGAGCAACAAUAUCUUGAGGUAAUUGAUGUUUUUGCUUGUGUUGAAAAAAUCUCCAUUGCUUCUAGAUAUUACAGUUACUUAUAAAUGAAUUGUGUUCAUGCAGCAUUCGAUUCCAUGGAUAGCUGCCAAUGAUGCUGCUUGGCGUGCGUUUUGUCGUUACUGGGCUUCGGCUGAAUUCAAGGCAAAGUCUGUGCGACACAGUUCUAAUCAUGGAACCGAGUCAUAUCACAAGUAUGGAGGUGAUGAUCACUUUCGUUUGGCAAAACGAAUGGUAAGUACAAUUUAAUCCAUUUUUGUUGAUUGUAGUUGACUUCCUAUAAUUUUUUGUUAUAAUGUUUGUCAAAUGUACAUAUAGGAAGCUAGCACUGGUGCAGUGCCUAGUGAUGUUCAAAUAUACCUUAGGGGGCACAGAGGACCAGAUCCUGCAAAUCUAGAUGUGUUGUACAGCCAAAAGCAACAGAUUGUGUGGUGAGUGUUUUGAAAUGUUUGGUAGGUUCUGUUUAUAUAGAUUUUUGUAUGUAAGAUUGCAUUGUUCUUUUGUAUGAGGCUGCAUAUGGUGAGGCGAUGUCUAGUCAGCAUGGACCAAACUAUGAUUGGAGGACCUCACAUAUUGAUCCUCAGGUUGUGUAUGCAAGUGGUGGAAAAGCUCAUGGAAGGUGCAGACUCUACAUAUCUUAUAUUGUUUCAUUGGUUGAGUGCAAUACAUAUAUUCUUAAUCUGUCGUGAUGUUACUUGUUUUGUAGGUACACAAUGUUUGCUAACGUCAUCGACUCGAGCCAGGUGAGGGUUCAGCGUGGAGGUUCGUCGUGGUCUGCUGCUCGUAGCUCCCGUCUCUCCACUCAAGAUCCAGCAGAAGUGGAACAACUGCGAGAAGAACUUAGGCGACAUCAGGAUUUCUUGAAGCAACAAGCUGCGCAACAUGAAUAUUAUGCUACACAGAUUCAACAACAGCAAAACACUCAUACAAGUAAGUUUAAAAGAUAAUAGCUUUCACUUUAAGAUAUGUAUUGAUUUAAAACGCUGAUGUGAAUGAGUUCGACAAAUUUGUAGCAACUAGCACAGGCUCAAGGGAUACACGUCCUGGUGCCCCCCCACCACCACCUCAUGUUCAUUAUCCUUGGUCUUCACCUCCACCUACACCUACAUCUCCAUCUACCGAACAUCAGGUAUGCAAAUUCAUCAUCAUUUACUUUUUGUUACUUAUAUUAUGAUGUAACUUAGCAAAUAUCAUUUGUACAUGUAUAUUAGACCCCUCCAGCCAUCUUGCCGACGCAUGAACGAGAAGACGGGUUAGACUUUGUUAAAACCCUCUUCGCUAGUGGAGGUAUCGACCAUCACUCGUCACUGUAACCCGAUGGUGAUCGGCGACCGUGAGCUUCCAUGUUAUUGUGCUUUGAUACUUGAGACUUUUAUUAUGACUAUCUAUGAGAUAUUGUCUCUUAUUAGUACUGGAUGAUGAGAUGUGUCUUAUUAUGACUAUGGAUGAGACUUUUGUGAUGUAAUUAAUAAGACUAUGGAUUUAAAUAUUGUUAUGUGAUUGUGUGUGAGAUGUUUUAUGUGAAAAUAUGUUGUGCUAUAUAGUUGUUGAUAUAUUUGUUAUGUUGUGGACUGUGACGUAAAAUAAAAAUAAACAACAUUUGUAAUGCUGGUCAAAUUAACUUCCUAGAGGCUUAUUGGGCCGUAGGAAGUACGGUCAGCCGUAGGAAGUUAGUCGUAGGAAGUUAGUCAGCUGACGGCGCUGACGGCGUGAAGCUACUAACUUCCAAGAAUCUACUAACUUCCGAGAGGCUUCUUUGGCUGUAGGAAGUUAGCUAACUUCCUAGAGGGCUCUAGGAAGUUAAGCUAACUUCCGACAAAAAAUUUCCGAGAGCCAAACUUCCGACGGGGUAGCUUAACUUCCGAGAGUUUAGCUAACUUCCUAGAGUUUAGGCCUAACUUCCUAGGGCCGGCUACGGAUGAUCCAGUGACAGCAGCGGUGGCGGCCAACAACACCAUGGCUCGGCGACGCCCACCGGCGUCGUGACGAGCUCCGUCGGCCACGGAUGCUUGCUCUUCCUGCAGGUGCUCGUUAGAUUUGGCGGCCGUGGCCCUGACCACGACCAGGCUAAGGCGGCGGCGAGGAGCGGCUGUCGCCGUGAUGGGGACGCUCAUCAACGGGUUCGUGCUGAGGAAUGCCAUUCUUCUUGGCUUGAUGGAUGUCUAUGGAUUGUGGUUCUUGUGCUGCUGGCUUGCUGCCUUCGGAUGGAGGGGAAACUGUUGGUAUAAAUAUAGGCUACAGCAGAUGCUGAACCGUUUGUAUCGUGGAUUGUUUCCAUUAAUUUCCAACAUUUGUUUUGUACUAGAAUCUCUGUACAUGCAUGUACUGCCAGCUCAAACAACCAACAAAAUACGAGUACAACCAUGCUAUUUCGUCCAAUAUAUGCUCUACUACACAUUCUGCAUGUUUUUGUGGUUAUCUGUUGUGGCCCUUUCAUCACAAAAAAAGCUGAGUGACACCUUGUCGUUUCUAUACUCAAGAACACCGUAUCGAUCGGUUGUCUCGUUUUGUACACGUGAAACAUAACAUGAAUAGAACGUAUCCGUACUAACAUUUGGGCUGGAAUAUGGAAUGCACUUCUACAUGCAAAAACCAUUUCCAUCAAGGUUGCUCGAUACAAAUAAGUCGCACUACAGUAACUGGACAUUUUUUCUACGGCAAGCCAAUGAAAUAAACUUAUUACAAUGUGUUUGGUUUGAGGCAUCUUCUCACUCCUUGUUUUUUAAUUUGGUUUGUGGAAUCGAAUUAAUUGAUCCAUCACCAUUCCAUUCCUAAUAUAGGCUAAUCUCUACUAAUCUAUAUGCCUCUAUUGUGGGCGUCCACCACCUGUAUUGGUGAAGCAUGCCCACUGGACUCAAUCCCCCACCGCGAUCCACACCUCGUCGCACGGAAGGCGCCAUCCACUCGGCGCGAUCCACGGUCGAGCCCGCCCAUACCGCCCGAGACCUGCUCUACCCCGCAAUCCACUCCCCCACCGAGCUACUUUCCUCCUUCUCAGCGAGAUCCACGCUGCUCUUCAAAGGAAGGACGGGGACCUGCUCUAUCCCACGAUCCACUCCCCCAUCGAGAACAGCAACAACAACAACAUGAUUACCCGCAGUUUGGGAGCUCAGAGGCGUGUACACCCCAUUGUGCCCGCGCCCCCGUCUCCCCGCCCGCCCGAGACAUCCACAUCGUCCCACCCCCAUCGCCGGCACGAUGACCGGAGGUCCCCCCAGGCGAGGGCACACGCCCGCCCUGACGCCCCCCGCCUCCACCGCGUGUCCGCACCCCUGCCCACAGAGGUCACCGCUGCGCGCCAUCAACGGGCCUCCUUCCUCCCCCCAUGACUGCCGUCGUCACAACUGUCGUCUACCCCUCACGCCACAGCUCUUAAUCUUCCUCCCACUGCCCCUAUCGCCGGUCGCCGCUAUUCAUCUUGCUGGGGGCCACAACGCCAUCCUUGAUCGCGCACAGAGGCACACUCCAUCGAGGAGCGACAUGAGGAGAGAUGACGGGUGCGGAGAUGGCGUCGGUGUUGCUGCAAACAAUGUGGCUGAAGAGUGAGGUGGAUGCCACCAUCCGCGAUAACCCUCGACAAGGUCCUCGUUCUCUGAUUUGGUCAUGCCACCAACGUCGAUUGCCUCCACCAAGAUGACAUCGUGAGUGCCCUCUCUCCUAUCCCUCCUCUAUUCUUCAACCCCUCCAUGAGGGCUACUGUUGAGCUGAGCGAUCCUCAGGCCUUUUAUCCCCUCGCACGAACAUGCUCUCUCCCCCUUUAGUCAACGUACUCAUAGUCUGGUCUGCUCUGCAAUUUUGAAUUGAAUCAGUGGUGGUUAGUUUUGAGAUUGUCUGGUUGUUGCUGUUUGCGAGGAUGUGGUACUUGUAGCCUGUAUUAGUAUUUUUAAAGGAAAAUCAGCAAAACACCUAAACACAAGAACCUAGAUGACUAACACUAAGUAACUAUGGAGCUCACCACAUGUUAUUGUGCCCGCCAAACCUCUGAUUGCAUUGGAAAUAUAACUUAAAAAUAAAUUGUCUAUACUUGGUGUGAUGCCAUCUUCAUCUUUGGCAGAGGUACUGAAGCCACUGUCUAGAAAUAAAAUAAUUCCACUGUCUAGAAAUGUAUUUCUGUUUAUGAUGACCACCAACUGAUUUUACGAGUAAACUACUGGUCCAAUAGGUACUGAAGCAAUUGAAGGGCAAAGCAUUAAAGAGAGCGGUGCUGACUAAAUAAAAAUUGCAAGAGCAGAUUGCGCAGAGAAACAUUGCAAGGAAGAUUAUGAAGUUUGGGCAUCGUUCUGAUGGAUGAACCUUCUGGUACAAUGUGUAGACCAUGCGAACCGGAACGAUAUGAAGAAUCGUGAUUAUACGCUCACCCUCACAACAAAUGAUGGUAAAAUGAGAUUUUUGCCUGAGGGCAAUUGCACAUUUUGAAGACUAACAAAAUAGCCAUCUCUGGAUGUAGUGUUCUGCAGGGUAGGGGGUCCAAGUUGACUCACCAGAUGAAACUUGCAUUUCUAGUUGUGUAAGAAGCAAUGUCCAUGCAGGGUAGGGGUCUCUGUUAUUGUGCUUGCAUUUCUCGAGUUGUUUGUAAGAAUGAACGAUUAUGCACCCUCGCGUCCAGAUAGAAAUGCCAAAUUGAUUUACUGGUCCUACAUCAUAAUUCAUUCCUAAGAAUGCACCAUAGAGUAGAAUUCUUGAUUUCCCUUUUCUUUUUUAAGAGGAACGCAAGAUCAUUGAAUGAACGGAGGUCUAUUUGUUUUUUGAUGGUUCUAGGACGCUAAGCAAUUGGAGUUCCUCAAUGAAGUUCCUAAAAGAGUCAAGUAUUUUGCAUGUUCCUAAAAUUGCCAAGCCAUUCAAGAGGACUUCUACUGCUACACCGCACAUUAAUCGUUGAGUCGCAGGAGUGGGCGUAGAGUUCAGCAUGCGGGAUUUGGGCUGCAAAGCGAACAAAAAAGGCAUAAAAUCUCUGCAAAUCAUUGCUGAAACAGAAUGUAUAGAUCACCAGGCUCUUGGAACACCCGCCUUUUUUUGUUAGAUAGGAUGCUCGCUACGGUCAAGAUCAUUUUCAUGUUAAAUUACUUUAUUAUUUCUAAAUAAAUAUAAUAGUAUGAUUCAGCCAGUCAUUGAGGUUGCUGGUACGACUUUCUGUCUUUCAUCCAUAAAAACCAAGGCUUUGUGUUUUUUAUUGCAAAGAGGGGAGUAGUUAAUUUCUUCUCAUCAUGGUGACUUCACCCACCUGUGGAUAAGUCGAAUUCCUGCUAGCUCAGCACUGACCCCUUCCUCGUAUCAUGUGUUUACACACGCCUGACUCUCCUGUUGUUGAGCUAGACCAAACCCAUCUCUUGUAGGUCCUGUUGGUGCUGAGGAUCCUCUAAACAACAUGUCAUCGUCUCAGUUCGAGCCUGUGGUAAGAUAAGGAGCGCUGGUAGCCUGAUAGCUCUCCAUUCUCUGAAGCUAAAGCUUCCUUUUAGCUCAUUGUGUAUUUGCUCUGCUUUCAAGAGAAGGUUGUUGUCAACGUAUGAUCUGACAAGAGCUUUGUCUGGCCAAUUGUAGAGCUUGAUACCUUGAGACAACCUGGCAAGUGAGCUGCAACUAACACACAUGGAUGGACAUUUUAUUCAAGUGUAUCAUAAAGUUUAUUAUUGUGUAGAACUUUUUGCUUAUGGUGAUGUUUUACACUACUGCCACACUAAUAGUCAUGUCCUUGAUUCUUUAAAUACUUUGAUCAAAGCAUGUACAGGUCACUGCUACUAUCUUAGUUCUCAAAGGUAUAAUAUAAGUAUGAAUACCCUUGAGGAAGUUAUGUUUUGUAAAUGGUUGUCUUUGUAGGGUCAUGUUUUUACUAUAGUCGUGCUAUACUUGCCUCUGAAGGUGGAUAAAAAUUGUGAUCAUGUAUUGUGAAAUAUCAACUGUAUAGUAUUCAUCAUAUUUGUUUGAGAUUAAUGUCACGCUUAGUGUUCGUGCCAAUAGAUAGGUUCGUAGUUGAUGAUAAUAUGUAUUGUUUGUUUUCAUGUAAUCAUUAUAUACUAACUUUGUAUCGAAUAAUUUGUAUAUCGUCGCAGCGCACGGGCACGUACCUAGUAAUUAGUAAUAAUCUGAUAAAUGAGUCCAUUUCAGCAAAUUUAUGGAAUAGACCUAUGAUGCACCACCUCAUCUAUAAUGGAAUAAUUCUUCAAACCAAACAACCUUUUAGUUUGUUUUGUUGGCCUGCGAAACUGACAAAAUAAAGGUUCUUUUCGUUAGUUUGCCAAUUUGCUAAUGCAAUAUAGUGUUUUUCAUCAGCUAUUCAUGACCAAUAAAAAUAACAUUAUUGACGAGAUCUAAAUUUUUAAAAUUAACAUAGUUUCAUCACCACAGUAGGACAAUAAAAACAUGUUUUUUGGUAUAUCGGCCAAUCACUGCGAUGAGAACCGGCAGUGUUGCUCUCUACGGAAGCGCGGACGGUCCGCGGCGAGGGGCCGAAUGGUUCGUGACCUCACUACCGGACUCACGUUCUUUGUCGAGUGUCUCAGACACUCGGUAAAGGCCAUUUUACACUCGACAAAGAAUACUCGGCACACACUUUAUCGGCAAACGGUUCUUUGUCGAUUACUUUUUUCGGACACUCGGCAAAGACUUUGUACACCGUAUCCGUAUCGGCAAAGGGUUCUAUACUCAAGAACACCGUAUCGAUCGGUUGUCUCGUUUUGUACACGUGAAACAUACCAUGAAUAGAACGUAUCUGUACUUUUGGCAUAUGGAAAAAUCAAUUUCGUUGAUUUUGUUUCCUGUACUUAAAACGAUUCUUAUCAAAGUUCAAGUCGCCUUUUAAUAUGGAAUGCGCUUCUACAUGCAAAAACCAUUUCCAUCAAGGUUACUUGAUACAAAUAAUGAUGAUUUCUUGGCCAACUGAAUUAAGUCGCACUACAGUAACUGGACAUUUUUUCAACGGCAAGCCAAUGAAAUAAACUUAUCACAAUGUGUUUGGUUUGAGGCAUCUUCUCACUCCACGUUUUUUUAUUUGGUUUGUGGAAUCGAAUUAAUUGAUCCAUCACCAUUCCAUUCCUAAUAUAGGCUAAUAAUUAGUAAUAAUCUGAUAAAUGAGUCCAUUUCAGCAAAUUUAUGGAAUAGACCUAUGAUGCACCACCUCAUCUUUAAUGGAUUAAUUCUUCAAACCAAACAACCUUUUAGUUUGUUUUGUUGGCCUGCGAAACUGACAAAAUAAAGGUUGUUUUCGUUAGUUUGCCAAUUUGGUAAUGAAAUAUAGUGUUUUUCAUCAGCUAUGCAUGACCAAUAAAAAUAACAUUAUUGACGAGAUCUAAAUUUUGAAAAUUAACAUAGUUUCAUCACCACAGUAGGACAACGAAAACAUGUUUUUUCGGUACUAUCGGCCAAUCACUGCGAUGAGAACCGGCGCCGUUGCUCUCUGCGGAAGCGCGGACGGUCCGCGACCAGGGGCAGAACGGUCCGUGACCUCACUACCGGACUCACGUUCUUUGUCGAGUGUCUCAGACACUCGGUAAAGGCCAUUUUACACUCUGCAAAGAAUACUCGGCAAACAUUUUAUCGCCAAAGGGUUAUUUGUCGAUUUCUUUUUUUUGGACACUCGGCAAAGACUUUGUACACCGUAUCCGUAUCGGCAAAGGAUUCUAUACUCAAGAACACUAUAUCGAUCGUGAAAUCUCGUUUUGUACACGUGAAACAUAACAUGAAUAGAACGUAUCCGUACUUUUGGCAUAUGGAAAAAUCAAUUUCGUUCAUUUUGUUUCCUGUACUGAAAACGAUUCUUAUCAAAGUUCAAGUCGCCUUUUUUCUGGCGUGAAACACGAACAUUUGGGCUGGAAUAUGGAAUGCGCUUCUACAUGCAAAAACCAUUUCCAUCAUGGUUACUCGAUACAAUGAUGAUUUCUUGGCCAACUGAAUUAAGUCGCACUACAGUAACUGGACAUUUUUUCGACGGCAAGCCAAUGAAAUAAACUUAUUACAACGUGUUUGGUUUGAGGCAUCUUCUCACUCCUCGUUUUUUUAUUUGGUUUGUGGAAUCGAAUUAAUUGAUCCAUCACUAUCCAUUCCUAAUAUAGGCUAAUAAUUAAUAAUAAUAUGAUUAAUGAGUCCAUUUCAGCAAAUUUAUGGAAUAGACAUAUCAUGCACCAGCUCAUCUAUAAUGGAACAAUUCUUCAAACCAAACAACCUUUUAGUUUGUUUUGUUGGCCUGCGAAACUGACAAAAUAAAGGUUGUUUUCGUUAGUUUGCCAAUUUGCUAAUGAAAUAUAGUGUUUUCCAUCAGCUAUGCAUGGCCAAUAAAAAUAAGAUUAUUGAUGAGAUCUAAAUUUUAAAAAUUAACAUAGUUUCAUCACCACAGUAGGACAACGAAAACAUGUUUUUUCGGUACUAUCGGCCAAUCACUGCGAUGAGAACCGGCGGCGUUGCUCUCUGUGCAAGCGCGGACAGUCCGCGGCCAGGGGCCGAACGGUCCGUGACCUCACUACCGGACUCACGUUCUUUGUCGAGUGUCUCAGACACUCGGUAAAGGCCAUUUUACACUCUGCAAAGAAUACUCGACAAACAUUUUAUCGGCAAAGGGUUAUUUGUCGAUUACUUUUUUUUGGACACUCGGCAAAGACUUUGUACACCGUAUCCGUAUCGGCAAAGGGUUCUAUACUCAAGAACACCGUAUCGAUCGUGAAAUCUCGUUUUGUACACGUGAAACAUAACAUGAAUAGAACGUAUCCGUACUUUUGGCAUAUGGAAAAAUCAAUUUCGUUCAUUUUGUUUCCUGUUCUGAAAACGAUUCUUAUCAAAGUUCAAGUCGCCUUUUUUCUGGCGUGAAACACGAACAUUUGGGCUGGAAUAUGGAAUGCGCUUCUACAUGCAAAAACCAUUUCCAUCAUGGUUACUCGAUACAAUGAUGAUUUCUUGGCCAACUGAAUUAAGUCGCACUACAGUAACAAGACAUUUUUUCGACGGCAAGCCAAUGAAAUAAACUUAUUACAACGUGUUUGGUUUGAGGCAUCUUCUCACUACUCGUUUUUUUAUUUGGUUUGUGGAAUCGAAUUAAUUGAUCCAUCACUAUUCCAUUCCUAAUAUAGGCUAAUAAUUAAUAAUAAUAUGAUAAAUGAGUCUAUUUCAGCAAAUUUAUGGAAUAGACAUAUCAUGCAUCAGCUCAUCUAUAAUGGAACAAUUCUUCAAACCAAACAACCUUUUAGUUUGUUUUGUUGGCCUGCGAAACUGACAAAAUAAAGGUUGUUUUUGUUAGUUUGCCAAUUUGCUAAUGAAAUAUAGUGUUUUCCAUCAGCUAUGCAUGGCCAAUAAAAAUAAGAUUAUUGACGAGAUCUAAAUUUUUAAAAUUAACAUAGUUUCAUCACCACAGUAGGACAACGAAAACAUGUUUUUUCGGUACUAUCGGCCAAUCACUGCGAUGAGAACCGGCGGCGUUGCUCUCUGCGGAAGCGCGAACAGUCCGCGGCCAGGGGCCGAACGGUCCGUGACCUCACUACCGGACUCACGUUCUUUGCCGAGUGUCUCAGACACUCGGUAAAGGCCAUUUUACACUCGGCAAAGAAUACUCGGCAAAUGGUUCAUUAUCGACUACUUUUUCGGACACUCGGCAAAGACUUUGUACACUGUAUUCGUAUCAGCAAAAGGUUCUAUACUCAAGAACACCGUAUCGAUCGGUUGUCUUGUUUUGUACACGUGAAACAUAACAUGAAUAGAACGUAUCCGUACUUUUGGCAUCUAGAAAAAUCAAUUUCGUUAAUAAUAUGUAUUUUGUCAAAGUAUCAACCACAAUCUUGUUUGUGGCGCACUAGUAGCCAUUUUGUGUGAUAAGCAGCAGGUAUAGGGUUCGAUUCUUGGGUUUGAUUCUUCAUUUCUUUGUAGUUACUUUUUCAACCUUUUUAGUUUUAACUAUCUCUAUUUUAUUAGUCUGCGUGGGUCUAGGGAUUUCUCCAAAGUUUUUAUUUUAAAAAAUGUUUAUGUUUUUUAGUUUACGUGGGUUGGUGUUUUCUCUUAUUUUUUAUUUUAAAGUUGUUUCUAUGGGUUCGAUUCUUCACUUCUUUGUAGUUACUUUUUCAACCUUUUCAGUUUUAACUAUCUCUAUUUUUUAGUCUACGUGGAUCCAUGGUUUUCUCCAAAGUUUUUAUUUUAAAAAAUGUUUAUGUUUUUUAGUUUACGUGGGUUGGUGUUUUCUCUAAAUUUUUUAUUUUUUAAAGUUGUUUCUAUUUUCUAUGCGUGUUUUCUCCAAAUUUUUUAUUUUCAAAAUUGUUUUUGUCAUUUUUGCAUUGUUUGGUUGGUGUUUUCUCCAAAUUUUUACUUUUAAAAUUGUUACUAUUUUUAUAGUUUGAUUAUCAUUUUAGCUAUUCUUAUAUAACAAAUUACUCAUGAAUAUAUUAGAUCUAAGUCUAUAGUAAUAUAUUUAUAUAACAAUACAUGUGGGAAAUUCAAGCUUAAUCAAUUUUUAUUUAAACAUGAUUUCAUAUUCAAACUUAUUUCAUUGCCAUUUUGAUUUAUUUCAUUAUUUGUAGUGGCGUCUACAAUUUUGCUUUUUUAGGAAAUUCACAUGAGAAUUAUGACGACCAACAUUGUCAUGAAAUAGUGACACUUCCUGAUUGUCAUAAGAUUGAAAGAGUGUUCGUCACAAAUAUGACAACUUUCAUAUUUAUGACGAUUUUGCAUUGGUCUUAAUGACAAAGUUUUACUUUUCAUCACUAAAGUCAAUCAUCCCUACAAAACGUCAUAAGUAGGAGAAGCUUAUGACGUUUUGAUCUAUUAUCACAAGGUAUUCGUCAUAGAAGGCUAUAUGUUGCAGUGUGCGCAAUGAAAUGUCGCCAAAAAGUUGAACAACCAAAAGUUUUAUGAUGUACAUUGGAUUACUUGGAUUAGUUAGAUCAUCCUUUUCACCAUCAUAUGUUUUCUUUCUUCCACAACCAAACUGAGAUAAAGUGCAUUGAUGUUAAAUCUGAAAACAAAGUAGCCCGAGAUUGAUCAUCUAGGUUGCACACAUUCAACAUAAACAACAAAGAGAGAUCUGUAUUGAUAAGGUAUACAUGAGGUCGACAAAGUCAAUUCAUCGCAAUGAACACCUCUCUGAUGGAUCCAUAAAGUAAUAACAUAAUGGGGGUACCAUAAGACAACAAAGGCCACCUAGAAUGUCGAAAGAUCUUGAAGAAAGAUUUGCUUGGCACCAAGGGUGCUAGAAGAGGUUUAGUCAUAAAAAGGGUAAAAUUGUUAAUAGAUUAUAUUUUCCAAUUAGAUAGAUAGAUCACUGAGUUUCCCAUGACCCCCUUUGUUUGAAACGUAUUCUACAAACCAUUUUCACAUUUCCCACAAGAUCAAAGGAGAUUCCAAUAAUUGACCUCGAGUCGGCAUGAAGACGUGCAACCGAGGUAUGUUUUCUAGAGGUUACAAUGAUCAACAAGGGGUUGAUCUCAUAAUCAUUGUUAGAAAACUAACCGAUAACCUUCACUGUUUGAACCCCAAUUAAUUCAUUAUUAACAUGUUGCCCUUUGUAGGAGUUGCAUCUCCUAAAAUCACAAUUUCUGGUACAUCAACUAUCAAAGAGGUGAUAUUGGCGUCGCCUAGAAAAUUUGAUAGUCCCAAUACGAGCAAUAAAAACAUACUAUUUAUGAGGACUACAUAAUGUUAGGGUAGCAAAUGUAGCCACAAUGCGACACACAACAACAAGAAGGAAAACACAUCCAAACGAUUAACACGGGUCAUAAAGAAUUGGGAUGAUAAGGUGAAAACAAGGCAAGAUGUGGAAUCUUCAAGCAUAUCGUCACAAUGGAAAGUUUGCAAUACCAUGUUAUAAAUUAAAUUUUGUUUUAAAAUACAAACCAUUACUUAUUUGCCAUCCUAGCAUGGAUGUAAUAAAUUGUGCCACACAUCUUGCCCCAUACAAUACAUAUUAUUUUUCUAACAAAACGUGACAUUCUCAAUGUUGGGUGAGAACAAUGAUGAAUAUGUGACCCAACUAGAGUUGGAUGUUGAAGGAUGUGGAUGGUUUUGGGACGCAACAACAGGAGGAGAUCCCUCCAACAACCUUGCAUAUCCCAAUAGCAUUCUCCCCCAAGACGGCACAUGUUGCUCCACACAACUGCUCAUUGCAAUUGUUAGAUGUGGAGCAUUGUUCCCCUCCUAAGAGGGCACGACCACCUUGGCUUGCUGGCAUGGUCGAAGCAAGAAGAGCUAAUAAUAUUGGAACAACGAGAACAACAAGAGUCUUCUUAGAGAACGCCAUGAAGCUCUAGGGAUGGCUUUUUUCAAGUAGAGGAUACUUAGUUCCUUGAUGACGCUUGUAUGCUUUCUGUUUUUUUGCACGUAUAGAAUUGAGUCUCCCUAUUGUUGUGGGGCUAUGAUUAUAUAGACUUGAGCAAUAACAAAUUAACCAUGAGCAAUCAAUUUCUGCUAUUUUACUUAGAGAUAUCAUAUCUUUUGUUUUUACUUGUAGUAGCAAUAUCAUCUAAUAUAUAUUACCCACUCAAUUUUUAUGUUAAUGACAAUGCUAUUUAGAUCAAAUCUAUACAAUUAAAGGUUUUUAUUGGCAUUUACAAAAAAAUUACCUAAAAAUGCCAUACCUAUUUUGAUCUUUGUCUAUCAUGUUUUAAUGAUAUAGAUUCAUUACAUAUUAAUCUGGCACUCAAAUGCACUUAUUAUCUACCAAAGCACCAUAUCAAUUUUGAUUAUCGAGAAUACUGUAUUGACCAAAAUUAGCAACACAUUAUUAUGAUUUAAUUGUCUAUUUGGAUCCAGCCAAUUAGCAAUUAUUAGGUUCUAGAAUUUGAGUGUGGUGGAGCCUUAUACAUCUGGCUAUUAGGUUAGUGUUGGUCUCUUGUUCUCAAAUACUGUGAAUCAAGAACAAGGCAACAUAAUUGUUAAAGAUUAGAGACCUUCGUCCUCCAAGGCAUCAUCUCCUUUCAGAUAUAAUGAUCUUCAGACGAAGGUCAUGAAGGACGCACCUUCAGCUUGUUCGAAGGUGUUGACGCGAGAGCGAUUACAAUCCAGCGUGAAGAGUAUGGGACGCAGCCCGGGUACAAUUACAUUUAUAACCCCAAUAUGUACACAUAAUCACAACAUAAACCAUCACGGAUUAACUAGCCUUUUUCUCUUUGGCUCGGCAUCAUGCUUUCACCUUUGUCGCCACCCGUAACACCAUGAAUUUGGGGGUAUAAAAUUUCUUUUCUAAUAUCCACCAAAUUCAGGUGUUACUCUCUCCUUUAGCGCUUUUCUUCUCUUUUUUAUAAAUAAUGGAGAGUUAUUUUAUACAAGUUUUUAGUGUAGUAAAAUGAAACCCUAAAAGAGUUUUGAUUAUUGCAUCAUGCUGGAGCAACCAUUUUUUUGAUGAUGAUUGUGCUUUAUUGUGCAUUCGUCUAGAUUCAUAAGGCAUCGUAUAUUUUAAAUUCAAAACAUAAAGCAAUUUUAAAUAGAAAGGGAAGAAGAGAAAUAGACAAAGAAAAGAAGAGGAACAUAAAAGAAAAAGCCCAGAAUUCUUUCCCCUUCAUUUUCCCCAAUCGUGGCCCGUUCCCCCUUCCUGGGUCACUCGGCCACCCCGGCCCACGUGCCUUCGCCUCCCCCCUGCAUCUUGCUCGCACUCCUAGGCCACUGCGCGCGUCCACGGCCCAGUUCCCCCGCAUCCCUGGCUUGCUCUCGCAGCUCGCGUGGCCGGCCCACCCCGCGCGGCCCACGUGCCUUCAUCCCUUCAGCCUGCCCCGCACCGGCCCAAGCCCCUCUCCCGCUUCCAUUCGGCCCAGCUGACUUGGGCCGCGGUGCCACGCGCCAGCGCACUCUAGACGCUCACGCUCCUGUGCCCCAGCGGCCCGCGCGCGCGUGGGCAACGCCCAGCCGAGCGUCGCUGGCCUAGUGCCGCUGCAAUUUGGCCCCACCUGUCAUCUCUUUCAACUACCUCCUCCUUUUUCUCAGCUGUGCACGUGCCUAUGUCUGCUAGAUCCGUCAACGUCGCGGUGAUUUCGCAACAGUAGUUCACGCCCAUCUCAUUGGCCCCGUUCUUCCCUCUCUUGCGCAGCCACGACAUCUCGCCGGCCCUCCCUGUUGCGCGCGGCUCGCCCAUGCAGCCCGAGCUCCCGUCUGUGCGCGGCCUGCGCAGCUGUUGCGCAUGACUCGGCCGUGCAGCUUGCAGGUGCAGCCGUUGCGCGCGGCCCUGCGUGCCCGGCGCGGCCUGCUUCGUGCGACUCAUGCGGCCAGCGUGGCGCGCAGCCGGCGCGGCUCGCUUGGUGCACCUGGCGCGCACGUCAGCGCGACCCGCUGCUCGCAGCCAGGCUGUGCUCCGGCGCGGCCCGUGCGUGUGCCCCCAGCGCGGCCUCGCGGUCGCGUCCGGCGCGACCCUUCCGUGUGCCCCCGUCGUGGCCUCACGCUCGCGUCCGGUGCGGCCCGUGUGUGUGCCCUCGGCACGGCCUGCAUGUGGUUGGCGUGCCCGCGACUCGCUUGCGCAUGCCCGGCGCAACCUCGUGCGCAUCCUGCGUGACCCCAGUGUGUUGUCAUUGCCAUCGUCGUUCAUGCCCGCAGCAGCACCGGCGUAAUCUGCGCGGCGUAGCGGCAGCCUCGCCAUCGCUUCGCGUCGUGCGCGCAGCACGUCCUCGUGCUUCGCCACAAGCUCGUCCGGACGUCCGCCGUCGUCGCGGGGUGAGCAUCGUCUACGCGUUAGUAACAUCGUUUUGCCAUGUCUCAUGUUUUAAAUAAUUAAUUAUGUUUUUGUUUAACUAACGUCGAUUAAUUAGACUUUUCAAUUAAACUAAUUUAUAGUUUUUAAGUUGCGCUUUAUAAAUGCACGUCGACGUGAUUAAUAUUAACUCAAACGUUCUGCCCUAAUGUUCAUUUAAUAUAAACACGACGUUUAUUUAGUUUAUCUCGCAUGUCGCGCACGCGGUUUUGCACGUGGUUACGUGCUGAUCCGUGUGUCGUUCGCGCACGUCGUCGCGUUGGUUCGCGCGUGUCGCGCGAUGUCGUGCGCUUCGUUUCGCACAGUGUCACGUGUUGUCACACAUCAUUCGUGUGGGUCACGCGUUGUUCACGCACGCUGUUCGCACGUGUGGCGCUCGCCGUCAGCGUGUUUGUUCGCGUGUCCGUUCCAUGUGUUACUCGCGUGUUGUUGCGUGCGUGGUCACGCGUCGUUCGUGCGUGUCGCACAUGCUGUUUCACAUGUGUCGCGCGACGUCUGCACGUGGUAAUAAAUUGUUUUUCGCUUAUAAAGACUCAUGUUAAUAACGUUAAUUCGUCAGGCCAUAUAUUUUAGAUACUUAACUUAAGGUUCGCUCCACUAAUAUUUAUUAGAUUAAUAUUCUAAUUAGAUUAAAUGUGUAGUGUUUAACUUGGGCUUUUAUAAUAAAUAUUAACAUGACUAAUAUUAAUUUAACUACUUUCUAUUUAGUUAACACUUGUUUAGUAUAAACAUGUCACCGAUUUAGUUUUUCUCGCAUGUCGCGCGUGUUGUUCAGCACGCGGUGGCGUGCUACUUCGCGCGUCAUUUGCGCUGGUCGCACGUGCUGUUUCGUGUGUCGUUAGCAUGUUAUGUCGUGCAUGUCCGCGCGUCGUUCUAUACGCUGUCGUGUUGUUUCGUGUAUCGUAAAUUCGCCUCGCGUAGAAUCUCUCGUGUUAAUUAAAUUACUUAUUUAACUGAUAGCUGUUAGUGUAACAGAUUAAUCGAAACUAAAUGGUAGAGAUUAUUUAUAAUUGAUAAUGUCGAAUUAAAUGUUAUAGUUAAUAUUUGUUUAACGUAAACGCGAUAACUUCUCGACUGUAGCUUGACCGUCGUGUUUCUUAUCCUCGCAUAACCGUAGAAGCACUCUCUAUUUUAUAUUGCUUGUUUUUAUGAUGUUUUAUCUUGUAUGGUGUAAUGUUCUUAUGCAUAUGUAUAUGUUUGUUUGCUUGUGCCUGUUCGUCUUCGCUUCGCGUUGCGAUUAGAUCGCGAUUCGUUUCCAAGCUUCGAGGAAUCGACAAUCAAGCUUUGACGACCAAGUGACCAACUCUUCGAAUUCUACAAAGUUGAAGACCCUGAGCAUUCGUUUGGUGAAGGCAAGUGUCCUCUGACUAUUAUGUCCCAUUUACUUUAUAAUUCAUCAACCCGCAUACCAUGAUCCACCUAAGGAUUGACUAGUAUUCUGUUUCCUGUCCUUGUUUACCCUUUGGGAAUUGAUUAUUAUGAUUAGUUCUAUGCUAGCGCUUUACUUUAAUCAAUGAACAUGAUGAGAUACAAUGAUGAUACUAUGAUUUUAUUCUGGAUAUGAUGAUAUACUUGUGGAAUUUAAGGGGACUCGAGUGGUUUCUCGAGUGCCUCUCCGUAAGGACUGGUUCGUUGGAUGAUCGCCCGGGAAAACAGUGCAACCAUGAGGGUGGUAUGGGAUGCCCUUUGCUAAUUAAUUAGAGGAACUGAGGUGUAGUUUGCUUCGCCGUCGUGCCGUCAAUGGGGCUCGGUGUAUGCGGCUCGCUCUGCCGAGGGUGGAUUGCCCCUUGGGGAGGAGUGCGGUACAUUUAGGAAACCUAAUGGGCGGCUACAGCCUCAGAGAAUUUUUGUAAGGGCUUCAUAGUGAAUCCCUGGCCAUUCACCUUGGGAGUGAACAAGGGUCUUGCAAGCCAGGGCUAGAAAGGGAAUCACGGCUUGUAGGUAAAGUGGGCAACCUCUGCAGAGUGUUAUAAAACUGAUAUAUCAGCCGUGCUCGCGGUUAUGAGCGGCCAAGGGAGCUCCAUUGAUUAGAGAGACAUUGAUCAGAGAUGUUUUAUUUACAGGUGAUAAUGAGGAUGAUGAUUUUGAUUAUGAUUAUAGUAAUGGUUUCUAGUAUUCUUUCUGUUUUGAAAGAGUACUUUUGGGUUAACAACUUGGGUUAAUGUUAAAACCUGGCUCUCUACUAGUAAUAAUUCCCUGAUCAACUAAAAGCAACUACUUGACCUUAACCCCACAUAAAGCUAGUCCACUACAGCCAAACGAGACAUUUGCUGAGUAUAUUGAUAUGUACUCACCCUUGCUUUCACAAAACACCAGGUUGCUUUUGGUGCCAUCUAUGCUUAGGUAAAUAAGAAGGCAUCGAGGUGGAUCUCCAGAGUUCCAGGACGUCGUUGAGUUCGAGGAUUAGGCUAGCGACCUCCCUCAGUCAGCUGCCUGUGGUGGGUUUGUUUACAUUGGCUACGUUUCAAUUCUGUGUACUUUGAUUUAUAUUAUGUAAAUGGCUCUAGUCUGUAAUAUUAUUACUUACUCUUUAUUGUUAUUCGAAGCAUUGUGCUAUGAUGAGUCAUUUAUGUAAUCGCUGUUACGUGAAUUUCUGAUCCUGGCACGUACAUGGUUCGCAUUCAGUUUGCCUUCUAAAACCGGGUGUGACACCACCUUAAGCCGAAGCUAUCAUCCUUCGGUGGUAGCUUCAGCAUUCGUUGUUAUAGCUCUCAUAUAAUAUCUUAUCUUCAUCUCGAGGACCUUCGGCAGGGAGGAUCCUCAACAUCACUUUGAUAGUGAUACCUUUGUCUUGUGGACCUUCGGCGGAGAAGAAGACCCCCAAUAGUAGCCCCUUCGCAGUGCUAGAUCGUUUUUUGAUAACGAGCUCGAUCCGCGAAAAGUACGAAGGCUUCAGGAUGCCGAAGGUCUGAAAACACUUUCCUCGAGCUUGUUAUUAAAAAACGAAUAUAAAAUUCACAGCGCUUACCAGUCCACCGAUCAGCCAGUACACGCGUCUCGGCGAUUCACCAUCUUCUCCUGUGGGGCUAUAUAAACAUACAAGUUGGUGAGAAGUUACCACAACAUUCAUUGCUAUUGCACCGUUGUGCUACUGAAUUUUUUUACUGAAGCCGAAGCUUGCUGCUUUACACUUUGGACAAACAUUCCAUCGCUUAAGUGUAACUUUGUCUGUUAAAGACUGAAAACUGAAAAGACUAGAGUAAGAUCUACAUGUAAGCAACAAAGUGAAUUUAGGGUGUUAUUGUCUUUUCCCUUCAUAGUCUUGAUAAACAAGUCUUUAGGAUUUCUCCCUCCCCUCGUCAGUUUCUUUAUCGUGUGUGCACGCCAUUAAGCCGAAGCUCACAGCUUCGUUUCCACAGCGGAGGCAACUACAUGUCAUCUUGUACGAAGGUAGUGUUCGACAUUUUUACCCUGUUAAACCUGAAAUGGACUCAUAAGUAAAUUAUACCCCAAUGUUUUUCAGGACCUUCAGCUAAGGAAGACCCCCAACAAGCAUCUUCAUCCCUCGCUUUAAACCCUUAGCCUAGAACCCCCUUGGACUCAUACAACGGGGGAUGGAGGAAUAUAGAGGAAUUUUCACAUUUUUUUACUAAAGAUAUGUAACACUAUAUUAAGAUUUAUAUAUUCAAUAAAGGACCUAUAUGUAUAUUUGGAUAUUUGUAUGUUUUGUAUAUGCUCAUAUCCAUUGGGCAUGACUUGUAUGUGCAUAUGUUUAUUAAUGUACUCUGUGUCAAUACCAUAGCUUUGCAUAGAAAGCUAAAAAGAACUUGGUCCGAAGGGAAAUAGCUGACCUCGCGAUAUUAUAUUAAAAGAAAGUUUAAUCGAAGCCUAACCAAGAAAGAUCAUGAAAGUUGACUCUCUGUAUAGCAUGACUACAUGAGGUUCCACCUCGUAUAAACCAAAUUUUUACUCGUGCUACAUACUUUAUAGAAGUUCAUCAAACUUAAGGUAAUUUCCUGUGGGAUAUAUAAUAUACAAAUCUAUGAUAUUUGAGAGAAAGUCGUACAUGGAAAACUUCGCUCACAUGAAAAAAAAACAUUGAAACGACAGUAUAAGACUACUUGACAAAUACAAGGCCACACAUUUAUUCCAUUAUUAUUUCCUCAUAAAUACAAGGCCACACAUUUAUUCUGCAACACACGCAGACGUGAGAGAGAGAUCAAAUAGACUUGAAGGACAUGAGCUGGCGUUUUUUGGUGGAGUUUGGCAACGGAUCAAACACAACUGCUUGGUAAGACUGCUUGGUAAGACGACGUUGGAUCUUUGGUUGCGAGGUUGAGCUUGUAGUUGGUGCCGGCGACCACCUGUUCCAUGCCACUGACCACCUCGGCGAACUCCAAGCUCUCGCCAGUCUGCCUGUUGUGCUCCUUGACAGCCCAUUCGCCGACACCCUGGACAUAUGGGUCCUUGACGUUCUCUAUUUUGACAUACUGUCCGCUCAGCGUGGUGACACCUGCAGCUCUAGCAGACCUCCAGAUGGCUACGGAUGAUCCAGUGCAGCAGCGGUGGCGGCCAACAACACCAUGGCUCGGCGACGCCCACGAGCUCCGUCGGCCACAUAUGCUUGCUCUUCCUGCAGGUGCUCGUUAGAUUUGGCGGUCGCGGCCCUGACCACGACCAGGCUGCGGUGGCAGCGAGGAGCGGCUGCCUCCGUGAUGGGGACGCUAUUGUUUUUGUCAUUUUUGCAUUGUUUGGUUGGUGUUUUCUCCAAAUUUUUACUUUUAAAAUUGUUACUAUUUUAUAGUUUGAUUAUCAUUUUAGCUAUUUUUAUAUAACAGAUUACUCAUGAAUAUAUUAGAUCUAAGUCUAUAGUAAUAUAUUUAUAGAACAAUACAUGUGGGAAAUUUAAGCUUAAUCAAUUUUUAUUUAAACAUGAUUUCAUAUUCAAACUUAUUUCAUUGCCAUUUUGAUUUAUUUCAUUAUUUGUAGUGGCAUCUACAUUUUUGCUUUUUUAGGAAAUUCACAUGAGAAUUAUGACGACCAACAUUGUCAUGAAAUAGUGACACUACCUAAUUGUCAUAAGAUUGAAAGAGUGUUCGUCACAAAUAUGACACCUUUCAAUAUUUAUGACGAUUUUGCAUUGGUCUUAAUGACAAAGUUUUACUUUUCAUCACUAAAGUCAAUCAUCCCCUACAAAACGUCAUAAGUAGGAGAAGCUUAUGACAUUUUGAUCUAUUGUCACAAGGUAUUCGUCAUAGAAGGCUAUAUGUUGUAGUGCGCGCAACGAAAUGUCGCCAAAAAGUUGAACAACCAAAAGCUUCAUGAUGUACAUUGGAUUACUUGGAUUAAUUAGAUCAUCCUUUUCACCAUCAUUUGUUUUCUUUCUUCCACAACCAAACUGUGCAUAAAGUGCAUUGAUGUUAAUUCUAAAAACAAAGUAGCCCGAGAUUGAUCAUCUAGGUUGCACACAUUCAACAUAAACAACAAAGAGAGAUAUGUAUUGAUAAGCUAUACAUGAGGUAGACAAAGUCAAUUCAUCGCAAUGAACACCUCUCUGAUGGAUCCAUAAAGUAAUAACAUAAGGGGGGUACCAUAAGACAACCAAGGCCCCCUAGAAUGUCGAAAGAUCUUGAAGAAAGAUUUACUUGGCACCAAGGGUGCUAGAAGAUGUUUAGUCAUAAAAAGGGUAAAAUUGUUAAUAGAUUAUAUUUUCCAAUUAGAUAGAUAGAUCGCUGAGUUUCUCAUGACCCCCUUUGUUUGAAACGUAUUCUACAAACCAUUUUCACAUUUCCCAGAAGAUCAAAGGAGUUUCCAAUAAUUGACCUCGAGUCGGCAUGAAGACGUGCAACCGAGGUAUGUUUUCUAGAGGUUACAAUGAUCAACAAGGGGUUGAUCUCAUAAUCAUUGUUAGAAAACUAACCGAUAACCUUCACUGUUUGAACCCCAAUUAAUUCAUUAUUAACAUGGUGCCCUUUGUAGGAGUUGCAUCUCCUAAAAUCACAAUUUAUGGUACAUUAACUAUCAAAGAGGUUGUCGGUACCCUGGAUUAGGGGUACCCCUUACUACGGUAUGAAGGCACGAUGCCUGCGCGGCUACCCUUAGCUGCGCGGAGAACAACCCCAGGGGUAUCUCGUGAGCAGUUAAGGUGGCGUUCUCGGAGACAACGCCAUCGGGCCCAGAAGGCACAUGGCCCCUAUGCGCACAACCCGGACCCCCGAAGUAAAGCAGCCCAGAGCCAUUGGAUAGGGUUCGGACCCCAUCAAGUGAGCUCCGGACCACCCAUAACAAGGUCCCGGGAGAGGGAGUGUCGUAACCUAGGCAUGGGUCCGGUAUUGACGCGUGUCCAGGCUCUAUCCGGAGCACCUCCGCUGCCGCUCGGCCGAGGGUCUAAUGCGACCACAUGGCUUAUUGCCCGUGACGUAGGCCAUCGGACGGAUCAUGACAUAAGGGCUCUGAGCCGCGCGGCCUCCACAUUUAUUGCGGAAAGGACACGCCGCCUGUCCGCCCUUUUGACAGGUGAUGUGCCCCCACGACAUUUAUUGUGUCCUGUCCAUUCCGCUGGCAGGCGGCGCCAGGGCCACCCUGCAGACGGCGCACCUGUCCAGUCCGUUGCCGAAACAGUGCGCCCAUGCUGCGCGGUGCACUGUACUCAUCCCUUAUGCGAGAAGCUUCCCCCCUGCACGCCGAGGCUACGCAAAUCUCGGGUGUCAGGGCAUAAGAAGAUUGCUCCAGCAUAAGGUAUUAGUAGCUACAUCCGCUAUGUUACUGGGCCCACAUGUCGGGGCUCAGUACUCUUGUACAUGCCCCCUUUAGCUAUAAAAGGGGAGGCAUGCAACGUUACAACGCAAGCUCAAUCUUUAGGCUUAGACCCAAGUGAUCCAAGACUACUCAAGCUCUCAAGCCAUACAACACACAGUGGAGUAGGGUAUUACGCUCGGGCGGCCCGAACCACUCUAAACUCUUGCGUGUUCUUGUGUUCAUUCUUUCAUCUCGCAACAAGCAAAACGCUUAGGCCCCUCCUCAUCUUAGGAUUUAGGGCUGGUGCACUCCGCCACCCGGCCGGAGAUUUCCUCUCCGACAUUUAGCGCGCCAGGUAGGGGGCUAGGCAUUAGGUUUUUGCUUGUUUCCUUGCUCAACAUGAUGGUGCAAAUCAUUGAGCACCGCGUCGAGACUUCGGUGGAUUUCGUGGUGAAGGAAGAAGCUGCUUCUUCCAUGCCAUAGGUUCCCAACUGCCAUGUGUCGGGCACUGCUGCUGUGCACACCGCACGAUAGCAUACACCUGCACAGACAUCCCGGACUCCGUCGAGGGCGACUCUGGGAGCGUUGUCACCAGCCAGGGAGUUGCUGCGACACCCUCUAAGCUCCACGGCCUCACCAGGGGCCAUGAAGCAAUGGCGGGACGAUGUCGACCGGCUGCUCGGUAUGGCACAUUCUACCUCAACCAGGUCGAGGCCACGGUCAUCCCGGCGCCAAUAUGAGGCUCGACCGCAGGCGUGCGGGCGAGGACGCCUGGUCUCUUUGGAGAGGGCGCACGAGCGCCGCCAAAACAUUGAGGGCCGCAACCUCGAUCGAGAAUUCGUUGCGGUAGCACCGAAGACACCAAUGGGAACUCGGUCCCAAGCGGGUGUCCCUUUGGCCGGUGUGGGCUGCGCCGCUCUCGCGGAUCAUCUCCACGCGGUGUCAUGGCCACCCAAGUUCCGGCCGCACCUGCCAGAAAAUUACGACGGAACGACAAACCCGUCAGAGUUCUUGCAGGUGUACGUCACCGCCAUCACGGCAGCAGGUGGAAACACCGCUGUGAUGGCGACAUAUUUUCAUGUCGCCUUGUUUGGACCAGCCCGGACUUGGCUCAUGAACCUCGCCCCAGGGUCGAUCUACUCCUGGGAAGAUCUCUACGCACGGUUCGUUGCGAACUUCGCUAGUGCUUACCAGCAACACGGCGUGGAGGCCCACCUCCAUGCAGUGAAGCAAGAGCCCGGAGAAACUCUCCGGACAUUUAUCUCCCGCUUCACCAAGGUGCAAGGUACUAUACCUUGCAUCUCCGAUGCUUCUAUCAUCACGGCCUUCCGCUAGGGGGUACGUGAUAAAAAGAUGUUGGAGAAGUUGGCCACGCAUGACGUGGAAACGGUCCCCACUCUCUUUGCUCUGGCCAACAAGUGCGCCAGGGCUGCUGAGGGCCGUGCGUGGCACUCAGCGCCAUAGACCGGCGCUGCCCAAGCAGGCAGCCUAGGUGUCGUCGCUCAGGAUGGCAAGAAAAAGAAGAAAAAGAACCGAGGCAACGAGAAGCCGCACUCCGCCGCUCUGGUCGUGGCAGCUGCGACUAGGGGCCGGGGCGACCGCAACAAACGCCCACGGCCACCGAGGGGUAACAGCGGCACAUGCCCCGUGCACCCCAACGGUCGCCACAGUGCCGCAGAAUGUCGUGAGAUCAUUGACCUCGCGAAACCUGGCCUCCGGGGUCGAAGCCUGCCUUCCCCCAGAAACCCUUCUGGACUCCCCACGGGUCCAACCUUUCGAUGGGUUUGUGUAGGGGCCACCACAACGCGAGGACGUGGACUCAAGCGGCGGACUCAGGUCUCAAGUUGCAACCCGAAAUGCACAUCGUAACCAGAUGCCCAAGUACUAUGGCCGACGGUUCGUGCAUAGUAGGGAACCCAGGGUCGGGACCUAAUCCUGCGGCAAAGUACUGAACCAAGAGGGGAUCUGCAGCCUCUCCUCAGCAGGGAGUAACCCCUCAAGGCGAUGGAAAUAUGCCAACCCGAGGGAUGCCAACUUUGCUAUAGCUGAAGAAGUACCCCUUCCUAUCUCUGUAAGUUCAGUGCAUAGAAACAACUCUUAGGGGUUAAAUUUUUCUCCUUUCAUGAUUAAAUUUCGCAUAUGUGUACACCAGCCCGGUGAGGUCUGCCCACAUAAACCCGGCCUGUUGGUUUACACCCAUGCAUAUCAAGUUAUAAAGAGGAAAUUCACCCCCUCGGACGCAUUUCUAUGACAACUUUAUCUUCCUGCACCAUGGAUUUGGCCUACAGUUUUCAGAUAAUACCUUUUAUCUAACCCACCCGCACGGUUCCCAUCUGUCCUGACACUACGACAUCCAAAUUGAGCAGCCAGGCUUGCAGUUUAGGACCUCCUUUACGAAAGCAGGGAGGUCCGACAGCAUCGGGGCCGGUUCUAAAGAACGGGAGCUCGUUCCAUGAAGUGGUCCGGAGCAGUGUAGCCGCUUAGCCUGGUCCCGUACCGUAAGCCUGCACAGCCCACCAUUCUGUGAUGGGUGCCUUAGUAUUUGGAACUAUAGUCCUGUGGGUCCAACAACCUGGGGUCCGGCUCUAGAAAAUGGGCACUUGUCUCCUGGGGUGGUCCGGAGCCGUGUAGCCGCUUAGCCUGGUCCUGUACCGUAAGCCUGCACACUACACCGCCCUGCGACAGGAGUCCUAGUAUCUAGAGCCGCGACCCAAGGGGGUCUGGACACGCAACUUGGCCGCCCGAACUAAACCCUGCGAGUCCCGAGCAUGUAUCAAAGGAUGGCUAAUAUCAGACAGGGGACCCUAUGGGUGUACUACUAACGCUCCCGGCCGAGGCUGUGUACAAGUCCAGAUCCCGGCCGAGGCUCCCUCCCGAAAAUUGUUGACAACCCUUUCAGAUACGCUGGUAUCCAGCCUCGACACAUCAAGCCUGCAUCCCAGGCAGGGGCCAGGUAACAGGGAGCAGUCAACAACAUCACACACAGCAGGAACAGGCGGUACACAGAUAAGUGCUAACAUUGCUUGAUAAAUAGUACUCAAAAAUACCUUACAAAAAGCAAAAGUAUUACAUCCACCUUGAAGCGGAAUCCUAGUUCCAUCCCUAAUCUGCAGGUAUAAACUACUCGAUGCCAGCAGAGUUGCGCUGGAAGUUCGCGGCCGCUGUCCUUGCGGAAUCCCCCAGGACGGCGUAACAGCAGUGAUGGCCGCCUCGAUGCGUGCGCCAUCACGAAGAGGUCCUUGGCCCCAUCCUCCUAUGGGGGGCGACAACGAGGCCAUUAAAGCCAAAGAGUGGGAGGCUCGGCGGUAGGUGGCACUGGUGGUCUCGCCAGCGGAGGCAACCACCUCUGCAGCGGGCAGCCUCACCAGCGGCGGCGACCACCUCAGCACCGACGACAGCGGCCACCUCUGCACCGGUGGCCGCCUCAGCGCAUGCAGGAAGGUCCUCGCCCCCGUCCUCCUACGGGGGUGAGGACAAGACCAUCUAAGAACGCGGCCACCACCUCCAUAGCGUGUGACGUAUUGUACGACCCCCUGGGCGGCGUCAGAGCAGUGCGGCCGGCUGUGUAGGGAGCGCUACGAAUGCAGCAGACCUACGCACGGCACGACCGUCGCCCGUGCGGUGGACGGAUAGCCGCGCCCCGCUUGGUGGCGGGAGGCGGCGCUGGAAGUGGCGCCAAAGCCAUCCAAGCCAAGGAGCCAGACACACGGCAGCUGACGGCGCCUACAGCCGGCCGGCCCCGCGUAGCCGAAGUUCGCCUCCUCCGCAAGGCUAGUGAACAUCCUUCUCCUCCAAAUGCUGGAGGAAGAAGCGGGUCACCAGCCCAUGCGGAAGGCAGGACCCCAACUCGGCUCGCCUUCCACCCCAUCAAGGAUGAUGAACAUCCUUGAAGCUAAGGGCAGGGGGGAGGCUGCAGCCCGGAAUGCUUCUCUCCACCAUGAGGCUGGUGGUCAUCCUUGUAGAUGACCACUGGCGGGAGACCGCAGCCGGGCUGCAUGAUGAAAAUCCUUGAAGCCGAGCGAUGGCGGAAGAGCGCCAACCCCCACGAGGUCGCGCCCCUCCAACAGCAGCAAGAAGAAGACAAGACCGGCAGCACUACCGCGCUGGAAACAGAGAGCGCGAGCUCCCCGGCGGUGAGACCGUUGGGGGAGGUGGCCCUGACGUGGAUCCCUCCAGCGAACACCGGCGCGCCCCAUCUAGAAGCCCGGAAGGCGGAAGGGCGCGAUGAAUGCAAGAGAAGCAAGACAUGGCUGCUACUCGAAGGGUGAACCCCUUUUUAAAGGCAGAUUUCCCCACUCGCGCCCGAAGCAUCACGGGCAAGGUCUCCCCCGAUGCGCACCAGGAUUCCCAUUAUAUGACAUGGGGGCCAGGCCUCACACGUCGUGCAAGCUGGCCCGAAGUGCGGAGAAGGCGAAUCGUCGCAUAGGGAGCGUGCAACCGCCCUGCGGUUACACGCCCUUCCACCUUCGCCGCAAUCAGCGGUCGAGAAGGCGAAUCGUCGCACAGGGAGCAUGCAACCAUCCUGCGGUUACUCGCCCUUCCAUCUUCACCACAACCAGCGAUCAAGGAGGCGAACCGCCGCACAAGGAGCAUGCAACCGCCCCACGGUUGCGCGCUCUCUCAGCUUCGCUACAACCGGUGGUCCAACCUCUGGCAUGGGGGCCCAGGCCCACAUGUCAUACACCCGACGCGUCGGUUCCUGGGUGCAUGAAAGUUGCACCGCCGCUCGCGCCAAUACCGCGCCUCCUCGAGGCCGUCGCAGAGGACUAAGAAGAUAAAUUUUCAAAACCGAUGCAGCGACUCGAGGCACCCCGCGCAUGGCCCAACAAAGACAUUAAGUACGGAGGUCACGGGCCAGUCGGCCACAGGGGCAGGCGUGGCAGUCGGCGUGACCAUAGGCGGGCCGGCAGUAACUGCAUCAACGGGUGCGCAGGAGCAGCGAGCCGAUCGCCUGUCAAACUCUGGCCCCACCUGCAGGCUCACAUCCUCCCCUGAGGCAGGCCCGGGGGCCACUGUCGGUACCCUGGAUUAGGGGUACCCCUUACUACGAUAUGAAGGCACGAUGCCUGCGCGGCUACCCUUAGCCACGCGGAGAACAGCCCCAGGGGUAUCUCGUGAGCAGUUAAGGUGGCAUUCUCGGAGAUAACGCCAUCGGGCCCAGAAGGCGCAGGGCCCCUAUGCGCACAACCCGGACCCCCGAAGUAAAGCAGCCCAGAGCCAUUGGAUAGGGUUUUGACCCCAUCAAGUGAGCUCCGGACCACCCAUAACAAGGUCCCGGGAGAGGGAGUGUCGUAACCUGGGCAUGGGUCCAGUAUUGACGCGUGUCCAGGCUCUAUUCGGAGCACCUCUGCUCCCGCUCGGUCGAGGGUCUAAUGCGGCCACAUGGCUUAUUGCCCGUGACGUAGGCCAGCGGAUGGAGCAUGACAUAAUGGCUCUGAGCCGCGCGGCCUCCGCAUUUAUUGCGGAAAGGACACGCCGCUUGUUCGCCCUUCUGACAUGAUGUGCCCCCACGGCAUUUAUUGUGUCAUGUCCAUAUAUUCCACUGGCAGGCGGCGCCAGGGCCACCCUGCAUACGGCACACCUGUCCAGUCUGUUGCCGAAAUAGUGCGCCCGUGCUGCGCGGUGCACUGUACUCAUCCCUUAUGCGAGAAGCUUCCCCCUGCACGCCGAGGCUACGCAGAUCUCGGGUGUUAGGGCGUAAGAAGAUUGCUCCAGCAGAAGGUAUUAGUAGCUACAUCCGCUAUGUUACUGGGCCCACAUGUCGGGGCUCAGUACUCUUGUACAUGCCCCCCUUUAGCUAUAAAAGGGGAGGCAUGCAACGUUACAACGCAAGUUCAAUCUUUAGGCUCAGACCCAAGUGAUCCAAGACGUCUCAAGCUCUCAAGCAGUACAACACACAGUGGAGUAGGGUAUUACGCUCCGGCGGCCCAAACCACUCUAAACUCUUGCGUGUUCUUGUGUUCAUUUCUUCAUCUCGCAAUAAGCAAAACGCUUAGGCCCCUCCUCAUCUUAGGAUUUAGGGCGGGUGCACUCCGCCACCCGGCCGGAGAUUUCCUCUCCGACAGAGGUGAUAUUGGCGCCGCCUAGAAAAUUUGAUAGUCCCAAUACGAGCAAUAAAAACAUACUAUUUAUGAGGACUACAUAAUGUCAGGGUAGCAAAUGUAGCCACAAUGCGACACACAACAACAAGAAGGCAAACACAUCCGAACGAUUAACACGGGUCAUAAAGAAUUGGGAUGAUAAGGUGAAAACAAGGCAAGAUGUGGAAUCUUCAAGCAUAUCGUCACAAAUGGAAAGUUUGCAAUACCAUGUUAUAAAUUAAAUUUUGUUUUAAAAUACAAACCAUUACUUAUUUGCCAUCCUAGCAUGGAUGUAAUACAUUGUGCCACACAUCUUGUCCCAUACAAUACAUAUUAUUUUUUCUAACAAAACGUGACAUUCUCAAUAUUGAGUGAGAACAAUGAUGGAUCUGUGAACUAGCUAGAGUUGAGUAUUGAAUGAUGUGGAUGGUUUUGGGACACAACAACAGGAGGAGAUCCCUCCAACAACCUUGCAUAUCCCAAUAGCAUUCUCCCCCAAGACGGCACAUGUUGCUCCACACAGCUGCUCAUUGCAAUUGUUAGAUGUGGAGCAUUGUUCCCCUCCUAAGAGGGCACGACCGCCUUGGCUUGCUGGCAUGGUCGAAGCAAGAAGAGCUAAUAAUAUCGGAACAACGAGAACAACAAGAGUCUUCUUAGAGCACGCCAUGAAGCUCUAGGGAUGGCUUUUUUAAAGUAGAGGAUACUUAGUGCCUUCAUGACGCUUGUAUGCUUUCUGGUUUUUUGCACGUAUAGAAUUGAGUCUCCCUAUUUUUGUGGGGCUCUGAUUAUAUAGACUUGAGCAAUAACAAAUUAACCAUGAGCAAUCAAUUUCUACUAUUUUACUUAGAGAUAUCAUAUCUUUAGUUUUACUUGUAGUAGCAAUAUCAUCUAAUAUAUAUUACCCACUCAAUUUUUAUGUUAAUGACAAUGCUAUUUAUAUCAAAUCUAUACAAUUAAAGGUUUUUAUUGGCAUGUACACAAAAUUUACCUAAAAUGCCAUACCUAUUUUGAUCUUUAUCUAUAAUGUUUUAAUGAUAUAGAUUCAUUACAUAUUAAUCUGGCACUCAUAUGCACUUAUUAGCUACCAAAGCACCAUAUCAAUUUUGAUUAUCGAGAAUAUUGUAUUGACCAAAAUUAGCAACACAUUAUUAUGAUUUAAUUGUCUAUUUGGAUCCAGCCAAUUAGCAAUUAUUAGGUUCUAGAAUUUGAUUAUGGUGGAGCCAAAUACACAUGGCUAUUACGUUAGUGUUGGUCUUUUGUUCUCAAAUACUGUGAAUCAAGAACAAGGCAACACAAUUGUUAAAGAUUAGAGACCUUCGUCCUCCAAGGCAUCAUCUCCUUUUAGAUAUAAUGAUAUUCAGACGAAGGUGAUGAAGGACGCACCUUCGGCUUGUUCGAAGGUGUUGACGCGAGAGCGAUUAUAGUCCAGCGUGAAUAGUACGGGGGUACUGUUCACCUAUUUAUAGGCACGAGACACAGCCUGGGUACAAUUACAUUUAUAACCCCAAUAUGUACACAUAAUCACAACAUAAACCAUCAGGGAUUAACUAGCAUUUUCCUCUUUGGCUCGGCAUCAUGCUUUCACCUUCGUCGCCACCUGUAACACCCUGAAUUUGGGGGGUAUAAAAUUUCUUUUCUAAUAUCCACCAAAUUCAGGUGUUACUCUCUCCCUUACCGCUUUUCUUCUCUUUUUUAUAAAUAAUGGAGAGUUAUUUUAUACAAGUUUUUAGUGUAGUAAAAUGAAACCCUAAAAGAGUUCUGAUUAUUGCAUGAUGCUGGAGCACCCAUUUUUUUAAUGAUGAUUGUGCUUUGUUGUGCAUUCGUCUAGAUUCAUAAGGCAUCGUAUAUUUUGAAUUCAAAACUUAAAGCAAUUUUAAAUAGAAAGGGAAGAAGAGAAAUAGACAAAGAAAAGAAGAGGAACAUAAAAGAAAAGGCCCAGAAUUCUUUCCCCUUCAUUUUCCCCAAUCGUGGCCCGUUCCCCCCUUCCUGGGCCGCUCGGCCACCCCGGCCCACGCGCCUUCGCCUCCCCCCCACGUCCUGCUCGCACUCCUGGGUCGCUGCACGCGUCCACGGCCCAGUUCCCCCGCAUCCCUGGCUCGCUCCCACAGCGCGCGUGGCCGGCCCACCCCGCGCGGCCCACGCGCCUUCAUCCCUUCAGCCUGCCCCGCACUGGCCCAAGCCCCUCUCCCACUUCCAUUCGGCCUAGCUGACUUGGGCCGCGGUGCCACGCGCCAGCGCACUCCAGACGCCCGCGCUCCUGCGCCCCAGCGGCCCGCGCGCGCGUGGGCAACGCCCAGCCAAGCGUCGCUAGCCUAGUGCCGCUGCAAUUUGGCCCCACCUGUCAUCUCUUUCAACUACCUCCUCCUUUUUCUCAGCUGUGCACGCGCCUAUGUCUGCUAGAUCCGUCCACAUCGCGGCGAUUUCGCAGCAGUAGUUCACGCCCAUCUCAUUGGCCCUGUUCUUCUCACUCUCGCGCAGCCACGGCAUCUCACCGACCCUCCCUGUUGCGCGCGGCUCGCCCGUGCAGCCCGAGGUCCCCUAUGUUCGCGGCCUACACAGCUGUUGCGCGCGACUCGGCCGUGCAGCUUGCAGGCACAGCCGUUGCGCGCGGCCCUGCGUGCCCGGCGCGGCCUGCUCCAUGCGACUCGCGCGGCCAGCGUGGCGCGCAGCCGGCGCGACUCGCCUGGUCGCGGCCCCACUGCUCGCGGCCAGCGUGCCAGACGUCAGCGCGACCCGCUGCUCGCGGCCAGGCUGUGCUCUGGCGCGGCCUCGCGCUCGCGUCUGGCACGACCUGUGUGUGUGCCCCCGGCGCGGCCUCGCGCUUGCGUCCGGUGCGGCCCGUGCGUGUGCCCUCUACGCGGCCUACGUGUGGUUGGCGUGCCCGUGACUCGCUCGCGCGUGCCCGGUGCAACCUCGAGCGCAUCGUGCGUGACCCCGGUGUGUCGUCAUUGCCAUCGUCGUUCGUGCCCGCAGCAGCCCCGGCGUAAUCUGCGCUGCUUAGCGGCAGCCUCGCCGUCGCUUCGCGUCGUGCGCGCAGCACGUCCUCGUGCUUCGCCACGAGCUCGUCCGGCCAUCCACCAUCGUCGCGGGGUGAGCAUCGUCUACGCGUUAGUAACAUCGUUUUGCCAUGUCUCAUGUUUUAAAUAAUUAAUUAUGUUUUUGUUUACCUAACAUCGAUUAAUUAGACUUUUCAAUUAAACUAAUUUAUAGUUUUUAAGUUGCGCUUUAUAAAUGCACGUCGACGUGAUUAAUAUUAACUCAAACGUUCUGCCCUAGUGUUCAUUUAAUAUAAAUGCGACGUUUAUUUAGUUUAUCUCGCGUGUCGCGCACUCGGUUUUGCACGUGGUUACGUGCUGAUCUGCGUGUCUUUCGCGCACGUCGUCGCGUUGGUUCGCGCGUGUCGCGCGUUGUCGUGAGCUUCGUUUCGCACAGUGUCACGUGUCAUCACACAUCAUUCGUGUGGGUCGCGCGUUGUUCACGCGCGCUGUUCGCACGUGUGGCGCUCGCCGUCAGCGUGUUUGUUCGCGUUUCCGGUCCAUGCGUUACUCGCGUGUUGUUGCGUGCGUGGUCAUGCGUCGUUCGUGCAUGUCACACGUGCUGUUUCACAUAUGUCUCGCGACGUCUGCGCGUGGUAAUAAAUUGUUUUUCGCUUAUAAAGACUCGUGUUAAUAACGUUAAUUCGUUAGGUCAUAUAUUUUAGAUACUUAACUUAAGGUUCGCUCGACUAAUAUUUAUUAGAUUAAUAUUCUAAUUAGAUUAAAUGUGUAGUGUUCAACUUGUGAUUUUAUAAUAAAUAUUAACAUGGCUAAUAUUAAUUUAACUACUUUCUAUUUAGUUAACACUUGUUUAGUAUAAACAUGUCACCGAUUUAGUUUUUCUUGUCUGUCGCGCGUGCUGUUCAGCACGCGGUGGCUUGCUACUUCGCGCUGGUCACACGUGUUGUUUCGUGUGUCGUUAGCGUGUUAUGUCGUGCAUAUCCGCGCGUCAUUCUAUACGCUGUUGUGUUGUUUCGUGUAUCGUAAAUUCGCCUCGCGUAGAAUCUCUCGUUUUAAAUAAAUUACUUAUUUAACUGAUAGCUAUUAGUGUAGCAGAUUAAUCGAAACUAAAUGGUAGAGAUUAUUUAUAUUUGAUAAUGUCGAAUUAAAUGUUAUAGUUAAUAUUUGUUUAACGUAAACACGAUCACUUCUCGACCGUAGCUUGACCGUCGUGUUUCUUAUCCUCGCAUAACCGUAGAAGCACUCUCUAUUUUAUAUUGAUCGUUUUUAUGAUGUUUUAUCUAGUAUGGUGUAAUGUUCUUAUGCAUAUGUAUAUGAUUGUUUGCUUGUGCCUGUUCGUCUUCACUUCGCGUUGCGAUUAGAUCGCGAUUCGUUUCUGAGCUUCGAGGAAUCGACAAUCAAGCUUUGACGACCAAGUGACCAACUCUUCGAAUUUUACAAAGUUGAAGACCCUGAGCAUCCGUUUGGUGAAGGCAAGUGUCCUCUGACCUAUUAUGUCCCAUUUACUUUAUAAUUCAUCAACCCGCAUACCAUGAUCAACCUAAGGAUUGACUAGUAUUCUGUUUCCUGUCCUUGUUUACCCUUUGGGAAUUGAUUAUUAUGAUUAGUUCUAUGCUAGCGCUUUACUUUAAUCAAUGAACAUGAUGAGAUACAAUGAUGAUACUAUGAUUUUAUUCUGGAUAUGAUGAUAUACUUGUGGCAUUUAAGGGGACUCGAGUGGUUUCUCGAGUGCCUCUUCGUAAGGACUGGUUCGUUGGAUGAUCGCCCGGGAAAACAGUGCAACCAUGAGGGUGAUAUGGGACGCCCUUAGCUAAUUAAUUAGAGGAACUGAGGUGUAGUUUGCUUCGCCGUUGUGCCGUCAAUGGGGCUCGGUGUAUGCGGCUCGCUCUGUCGAGGGUGGAUUGCCCCUUGGGGAGGAGUGCGGUACAUUUAGGAAACCUAAUGGGUGGCUACAGCCUCAGAGAAUCUUUGUAAAGGCUUCAUAGUGAAUCCCUGGCCAUUCACCUUGGGAGUGAACAAGGGUCUUGCAAGCCCGGGCUAGAAAGGGAAUCACGGCUUGUGGGUAAAGUGCGCAACUUCUGCAGAGAGUUAUGAAACUGAUAUAUCAGCCGUGCUCGCAGUUAUGAGCGGCCAAGGGAGCUCCAUUGAUUAGAGACACAUUCACUACCGGAAUCCGAGGCUUUGCCGAGUGUUGUAUUCUUUGCCGAGUGCCUUUUGUCGGGCACUCGGCAAAGAAGGCUUUGCCGAGUGCCGCACUCGGUAAAGUUAGGCUCUCGACAAAGAGCCCCUUUACCGAGUGCUGAACACUCGGCACAGGACGACACUCGGCAAAGAAAAGUUUGCCGAGUGUCAAACACUCGGCAAAGAGGGCUCUCGGCAAAGGGCCGUCAGCGGCCGUCCCAAAGCUGACGGCCGUCAGUCUUUGCCGAGAGCCAAUGGCUGGCACUCGGCAAAGAGGCUUCUUUGCCGAGUGCCACAUAGUAGGCACUCGGCAAAGGAGGCUUUGCCGAGUGUCAUCUCUAGACACUCGGCAAAGUAUAUUUUUAUUUUUUAAUGUUGUCUCUCAAACUUUUUGUGGUAUGUUCCUACACUAUGUAGACCUACAUGUAUCAUUUGUGGACAAUUAUAACAUAGUUUCAAUCGUUAGUAGAUUUAGUUCGUUUAUUUGAAUUUCUUCGGAAAAUUCAAAUUUGAACUGCAGGUCACUCGAAACUUGGAAAACCGUGCAUGAAAAAAUGAUAUUCAUGUUACUUAGCAUAAGUUAUGACCGAUUGCAGAAGCGUACCGGAAACUUCGAGCAACAUGCUCACUAAACAUGGCCGUGAACUUGGCAUCCACAUGUUUAAAAAUUGUAUAAAACACAAACAAAGUCAGAAAAUCAUGAAACUUGUCCACGUGUCAUGAUAUCAUUUGUACAGGCUGUGAUAAAAAUUUUAGAAUGUUUGGAGAAAGUUGUGAGACACUAUGUGUAGAAACCUAGAGGACUACACAUGAAAUCAAAGAGUUUCAAUGUGGAGUCUUCUAGGUUUCAAUGUGUAGAAACCUAAGAGAUCCACAUUGAAACUCUUUGAUUUCAUGUGUAGUCCUCUAGGUUUCUGAUAGUCGCCUAGAGGGGGGGUGAAUAGGGCGAAACUGAAAUUUACAAAUAUAAUCACAACUACAAGCCGGGGUUAGCGUUAGUAAUAAAGAAACGAGUCCGAGAGAGAGGGCGCAAAACAAAUCCCAAGCGAAUAAGCAAGUGAGACACGGAGAUUUGUUUUACCGAGGUUCGGUUCUUGCAAACCUACUCCCCGUUGAGGAGGCCACAAAGGCCGGGUCUCUUUCAACCCUUCCCUCUCUCAAACGAUCCACAGAUCGAGUGAGCUUUUCUUCUUCUCAAUCAAAACGGGAACAAAACUUCCCCGCAAGGGCCACCACACAAUUGGUGCCUCUUGCCUUGGUUACAAUUGAGUUUUGAUCACAAGAGCAAGUGAGAAAGAAAGAAAGCGAUCCAAGCGCAAGAGCUCAAAAGAACACGGCAAAUCUCUCUCGCUAGUCACUAAAGGCUUGAGUGGAAUUGGAGAGGAUUUGAUCUCUUGGGUGUGUCUAGAAUUGAAUGCUAGAGCUCUUGUAGUAGUUGGGAAGUAGAAAACUUGGAUGCAAUGAAUGGUGGGGUGGUUGGGGUAUUUAUAGCCCCAACCACCAAAUGUGGUCGUUGGGAGGCUGUCUGUUCGAUGGCGCACCGGACAGUCCGGUGCACACCGGACAGUCCGGUGCCCCCUGCCACGUCAUCACUGCCGUUGGAUUCCAACCGUUGGAGCUUCUGACUUGUGGGCCCGCCUGGAUGUCCGGUGCACACCGGACAGGUACUGUUUGAUGUCCGGUGUGCCAGAGUGGGCGCGCCUGACAUCUGCGCGCGCUGCGCGCGCAUUUAUUGCGUCGCAGGUAGCCGUUGGCGCGGAGGUAGCCGUUGCUCCGGAGUUGCACCGGACAGUCCGGUGCACACCGGACAGUCCGGUGAAUUUUAGCGGACUAGCCGUUGGAGUUUCCCGAAGCUGGCGAGUUCCUGAGGCCGACCUCCCAUGGCGCACCGGACACUAAAGCGCCUUAGAGAGCUUAUAGACAUGGUUAGGGUACUCACUGUCUUCAAAGCCGGGAGGUUGCUCAACAUAGACCUCUUCCUUGAUUGGUCCAUUGAGGAAGGCACUUUUCACGUCCAUUUGGUAAAGCUUGAAGCCAUGGUAAGUAGCAUAGGCUAAUAAUAUACGAAUUGACUCAAGCCUAGCUACGGGUGCAUAGGUUUCACCGAAAUCCAAACCUUCGACUUGGGAGUAUCCCUUGGCCACAAGUCGGGCUUUGUUCCUUGUCACCACACCAUGCUCAUCUUGCUUGUUGCGGAAGACCCAUUUGGUUCCUACAACAUUUUGGUUAGGACGUGGAACUAAAUGCCAUACCUCAUUUCUAGUGAAGUUGUUGAGCUCCUCUUGCAUUGCCACCACCCAAUCCGAAUCUUGAAGUGCUUCCUCUACCUUGUGUGGCUCAAUAGAGGAAACAAAAGAGUAAUGUUCACAAAAAUGUGCAAUACGAGAUCUAGUGGUUACCCCCUUUUGAAUGUCGCCGAGGAUGGUGUCGACGGGGUGAUCUCGUUGGAUUGCUUGGUGGACUCUUGGGUGCGGCGGUCUUGGCUCUUCAUCCUCCUUGUCUUCUUCAUUUGCAUCUCCCCCUUGAUCAAUGCCAUCAUCUUGAUGUGGCUCAUUUGCUUGAUCUUGCCCUUCAUCAACUUGAGCCUCAUCCUCAUUUUGAGUAGGUGGAGAUGCUUGCGUAGAGGAGGAUGGUUGAUCUUGUGCUUUUGGAGGCUCUUCGGAUUCCUUAGGACACACAUCCCCGAUGGACAUGUUCCUUAGCGCGAUGCACGGAGCCUCUUCAUUACCUAUCUCAUCAAGAUCAACUUGCUCUACUUGAGAGCCGUUAGUCUCAUCAAACACAACGUCACAUGAGACUUCAACUAGUCCAGUGGACUUGUUAAAGACCCUAUAUGCCCUUGUGUUUGAGUCAUAACCAAGUAAAAAGCCUUCUAUAGUUUUAGGAGCAAAUUUAGAUUUUCUACCUCUUUUGACAAGAAUAAAACAUUUGCUACCAAAAACUCUAAAAUAUGAAAUGUUUGGCUUUUUACCGGUAAGGAGUUCAUAUGAUGUCUUCUUGAGGAUUCAGUGUAGAUAUAACCGGUUGAUGGCGUAGCAGGCGGUGUUGACCGCUUCCGCCCAAAACCGAUCCGAAGUCUUGUACUCAUCAAGCAUGGUCCUUGCCAUGUCUAAUAGAGUUCGAUUCUUCCUCUCCACUACACCAUUUUGUUGAGGUGUGUAGGGAGAAGAGAACUCAUGCUUGAUGCCCUCCUCCUCAAGGAAGCCUUCGAUUUGUGAGUUCUUGAACUCUGUCCCGUUGUCGCUUCUUAUUUUCUUGAUCCUUAAGCCGAACUCAUUUUGAGCCCGUCUCAAGAAUCCUUUUAAGGUCUCUUGGGUUUGGGAUUUUUCCUGCAAAAAGAAUACCCAAGUGAAGCGAGAAUAAUCAUCCAUAAUAACUAGACAGUACUUACUCCCGCCGAUGCUUAUGUAAGCAAUCGGGCCGAAUAGAUCCAUGUGUAGGAGCUCCAGUGGCCUGUCAGUCGUCAUGAUGUUCUUGUGUGGAUGAUGGGCUCCAACUUGCUUCCCUGCCUGGCAUGCGCUACAAAUCCUGUCUUUCUCAAAAUGAACAUUUGUUAAUCCUAAAAUAUGUUCUCCCUUUAGAAGCUUGUGAAGAUUCUUCAUCCCAACAUGGGCUAGUCGGCGGUGCCAGAGCCAACCCAUGUUAGUCUUAGCAAUUAAGCAUGUGUCGAGUUCAGCUCUAUCAAAAUCUACUAAGUAUAGCUGAACCUCUAACACACCCUUAAAUGCUAUUGAAUCAUCACUUCUUCUAAAGACAGUGACACCUACAUCAGUAAAAAGACAGUUGUAGCCCAUUUGACAUAAUUGUGAAACGGAAAGCAAAUUGUAAUCUAAAGAAUCUACAAGAAAAACAUUUGAAAUGGAAUGGUCAGGGGAUAUAGCAAUUUUACCCAAGCCUUUGACCAAACCUUGAUUUCCAUCCCCGAAUGUGAUCGCUCUUUGGGGAUCUUGGUUUUUCUCAUAUGAGGAGAACAUCUUCUUCUCCCCUGUCAUGUGGUUUGUGCACCCGCUGUCGAGUAUCCAACUUGAGCCCCCGGAUGCAUAAACCUACAAAACAAAUUUAGUUCUUGACUUUAGGUACCCAAACUGUUUUGGGUCCUUUGGCAUUAGAAACAAGAACUUUGGGUACCCAAACACAAGUCUUUGAUCCCUUGUGUUUGCCCCCAACAAACUUGGCAACGACCUUGCCGGAUUUGUUAGUCAAAACAUAAGAUGCAUCAAAAGUUUUAAAUGAAAUGUCAUGAUCAUUUGAUGCACUAGGAGUUUUCUUCUUAGGCAACUUAGCACGGGUUGGUUGCCUAGAACUAGAUGUCUCACCCUCAUACAUAAAAGCAUGAUUAGGGCCAGAGUGAGACUUCCUAGAAUGAAUUCUCCUAAUCUUGCUCUCAGGAUAACCGGCAGGGUAUAAAAUGUAAUCCUCGUUAUCCUGAGGCAUGGGAGCCUUGCCCUUAACAAAAUUAGACAAUUUUUUAGGAGGGACAUUAAUUUUGACAUUGUCUCCCCUUUGGUAGCCAAUGCCAUCCUUAAUGCCAGGGCGUCUCCCAUUAUACAACAUGCUUCGAGCAAAUUUGAAUUUCUCAUUCUCUAGGUUGUGCUCGGCAAUUUUAGCAUCUAGUUUUGCUAUAUGAUCAUUUUGUUGUUUGAUUAAAGCCAUAUGAUCAUGAAUAGCAUCAAUAUCAACAUUUCUACAUCUAGUACAAAUAGAUACAUGCUCAACAAUAGAUGUAGAAGGUUUGCAAGAUUUUAAUUCUACCACCUUAGCUUGUAACAUGUCAUUCUUAGUUCUAAGGUCGGAAAUUGUAACAUUGCAAACAUCUAGUUCUUUAGCCUUAGCAAUUAAUUUUUCAUUCUCACUUCUAAGGCUAGCAAGAGAAAUGUUCAAUUCUUCAAUCCUAGCAAGCAAAUCAUCAUUAUUAUCUCUAGGAUUGGGAAUUGAAACAUUGCAAACAUGUGAAUCAAUCUUAGCAUUUAAACUAGCAUUUUCAUUCCUAAGGUUGUCAAUAAUCUCACGGCAAGUGCUUAGCUCACUAGACAAUUUUUCACAUUUUUCAACUUGUAGAGCGUAAGCAUUUUUAACCUUAACAUGUUUCUUGUUUUCUUUAAUUAGGAAGUCCUCUUGGGAAUCCAAGAGAUCAUCCUUCUCAUGAAUAGCACUAACUAAUUCAUUUAAUUUUUCCUUUUGUUCCAUGUUAAGGUUGGCAAAAAGAACGCGCAAGUUAUCCUCCUCAUUGCUAGCAUCAUCCUCAUCACUAGAGGUUUCAUAUUUAGUGGAGGAUCUUGAUUUUACCUUCUUCCUUUUGCCGUCCUUUGCCAUGAGGCACUUGUGGCCGACGUUGGGGAAGAGGAGUCCCUUGGUGACGGCGAUGUUGGCGGCGUCCUCGUCGGUGGAGCUCUCGUCGGAGUCCCACUCGCGGCACACAUGGGCAUCGCCGCCCUUCUUCUUGUGGUAUCUCUUCUUUUCCCUCCUCUUUCCCUUCUUGUCGUUAUCCCUGUCACUGUCACUUGAUAAUGGACAUUUAGCAAUAAAGUGACCGGGCUUACCACACUUGUAGCAAACCUUCUUGGAACGGGAUUUGUAAUCCUUCCCCUUCCGUUGCUUGAGGAUUUGGCGAAAGCUUUUGAUGAUUAAAGCCAUCUCCUCAUUGUCGAGCUUGGAGGCGUCAAUUGGUUGUCUACUUGGUGUAGACUCCUCCUUCUUCUCCUCCGUCGCCUUUAAUGCCACCGGUUGAGCUUCGGACGUGGAGGGUUCAUCAAGCUCGUUGAUUUUCUUGGAGCCUUUGAUCAUGCAUUCAAAGCUCACAAAAUUCCCGAUAACUUCCUCGGGGGUCAUUUUAGUAUAUCUAGGAUUACCACGAAUUAAUUGAACUUGAGUGGGGUUAAGGAAAAUGAGUGAUCUAAGAAUAACCUUAACCACCUCGUGAUCAUCCCACUUUAUGCUCCCGAGGUUGCACACUUGGUUCACCAAGGUCUUGAGCCGGUUGUACAUGUCUUGUGGCUCCUCCCCUUGGCGAAGACGGAAGCGACCGAGCUCCCCCUCAAUCGUUUCCCGGUUGGUGAUCUUGGUGAGUUCAUCACCUUCGUGCGCGGUCUUGAGUAGGUCCCAAAUCUCCUUUGCAUUCUUCAACCCUUGUACUUUGUUGUAUUCCUCCUUACUUAGAGAAGCAAGGAGUAUGGUUGUAGCUUGAGAGUUGAAGUGCUCGAUUUGGGCGACCUCAUCCUCAUCGUAGUCGGCAUCCCCUACGGACGGUACCUGUGCACCAAACUCAAUAACAUCCCAUAUACUUUUGUGGAGCGAGGUUAGAUGAAAUCGCAUUAGAUCGCUCCACCUAGCGUAAUCUUCACCAUCAAAAGUUGGUGGUUUGCCUAAUGGGACGGAAAGUAUGUUUAGAAAUGCGAGGGUAGCGUAGGGGGAUCUUACUAUACUUCUUGCGCUCUUGGCGCUUAGAAGUGACGGAUGGCGCAUCGGAGUCGGAGGUCGAUGGUGAUGAAGUAUCGGUCUCGUAGUAGACCACCUUCCUCAUCCUCUUGUGCUUGUCGCCUUUCCGAUGCGACUUGUGAGAAGAGGAUUUCUCCUUCUUCUCUUUGUGAUGAGAAGAGGAUCUCCUCUCCUUCCCUUUGGACGAGUCCUUCUUCUUCUCCUUUCUCUUGGUGCGGGACUCUUCCGAUGAAGUGCUCCCGUGGCUUGUAGUGGGCUUUUCGCCGGUCUCCAUCUCCUUCUUGGCAUGAUCUCCCGACAUCACUUCGAGCGGUUAGGCUCUAAUGAAGCACCGGGCUUUGAUACCAAUUGAUAGUCGCCUAGAGGGGGGGUGAAUAGGGCGAAACUGAAAUUUACAAAUAUAAUCACAACUACAAGCCGGGGUUAGCGUUAGUAAUAAAGAAACGAGUCCGAGAGAGAGGGCGCAAAACAAAUCCCAAGCGAAUAAGCAAGUGAGACACGGAGAUUUGUUUUACCGAGGUUCGGUUCUUGCAAACCUACUCCCCGUUGAGGAGGCCACAAAGGCCGGGUCUCUUUCAACCCUUCCCUCUCUCAAACGAUCCACGGAUCGAGUGAGCUUUUCUUCUUCUCAAUCAAAACGGGAACAAAACUUCCCCGCAAGGGCCACCACACAAUUGGUGCCUCUUGCCUUGGUUACAAUUGAGUUUUGAUCACAAGAGCAAGUGAGAAAGAAAGAAAGCGAUCCAAGCGCAAGAGCUCAAAAGAACACGGCAAAUCUCUCUCGCUAGUCACUAAAGGCUUGAGUGGAAUUGGAGAGGAUUUGAUCUCUUGGGUGUGUCUAGAAUUGAAUGCUAGAGCUCUUGUAGUAGUUGGGAAGUAGAAAACUUGGAUGCAAUGAAUGGUGGGGUGGUUGGGGUAUUUAUAGCCCCAACCACCAAAUGUGGUCGUUGGGAGGCUGUCUGUUCGAUGGCGCACCGGACAGUCCGGUGCCCCCUGCCACGUCAUCACUGCCGUUGGAUUCCAACCGUUGGAGCUUCUGACUUGUGGGCCCGCCUGGAUGUCCGGUGCACACCGGACAGGUACUGUUUGAUGUCCGGUGUGCCAGAGUGGGCGCGCCUGACAUCUGCGCGCGCUGCGCGCGCAUUUAUUGCGCCGCAGGUAGCCGUUGGCGCGGAGGUAGCCGUUGCUCCGGAGUUGCACCGGACAGUCCGGUGUACACCGGACAGUCCGGUGAAUUUUAGCGGACUAGCCGUUGGAGUUUCCCGAAGCUGGCGAGUUCCUGAGGCCGACCUCCCAUGGCGCACCGGAUACUGUCCGGUGUACACCGGACAGUCCGGUGAAUUAUAGCGGAGUCGCCUUUGGAAAUUCCCGAAGGUGGCAAGUUUGAGUCUGAGUCCCCCUGGUGCACCGGACAUGUCCGGUGGCACACCGGACAGUCUGGUGCGCCAGACCAGGGGUGCCUUCGGUUGGCCCUUUGCUCCUUUGUUGAAUCCAAAACUUGAUCUUUUUAUUGACUGAGUGUGAACCUUUUACACCUGUAUAAUCUACACACUUGGGCAAACUAGUUAGUCCAAAUAUUUGUGUUGGGCAAUUCAACCACCAAAAUUAAUUAGGGACUAGGUGUAAGCCUAAAUCCCUUUCAGUUUCUACACAUAGUGUCUCACAACUUUCUCCAAACAUUCUAAAAAUUUUAUCACAGCCUGUACAUAUGAUAUCAUGACACGUGGACAAGUUUCAUGAUUUUCUGACUUUGUUUGUGUUUUAUACAAUUUUUAAACAUGUGGAUGCCAAGUUCACGACCUUGUUUAGUGAGCAUGUUGCUCGAAGUUUCCGGUACGCUUCUGCAAUCGGUCGUAACUUAUGCUAAGUAACAUGAAUAUGAUUUUUUCAUGCACGGUUUUCCAAGUUUCGAGUGACCUGCAGUUCAAAUUUGAAUUUUUCGAAGAAAUUCAAAUAAACGAACUAAAUCUACUAACGAUUGAAACUAUGUUAUAAUUGUCCACAAAUGAUACAUGUAGGUCUACAUAGUGUAGGAACAUACCACAAAAAGUUUGGGAGACAAAAUAAAAAAAUAAAAAUAUACUUUACCGAGUGUCUAGAGGUGACACUCGGCAGUGUCAAAAGGGUGACACUCGGCAAAGUGUAAUGACAGAAUCUUUGCCGAGUGUCCCCCGGUUGACACUCGGCAAAGACGCUUUUGCCGAGUGCCGCAUCUAGGGCACUCGGCAAAGUGUAUUUUAAAAUUAAAAAAAAAUCUUUGCCGAGUGCCAGAUCGCGGGCACUCGGCAAAGACCGUUUACAUACCGCCAGUUAACCCUUUCUUCCUCACUCUCUUUCACACCAUCGCCGCUGCCGCGCCCUCGCCGUCCGGUUCGCCGCCGCCGCGCCCCCCGCCCUCGACGCGCCCCGCCAGGCCGCGCCGCGUCGCCGAGCGCGCGCUCGUCGCCGCGCCGGCGCCCCCCCCCCGCGCCGCCGCGCUCUCGCUGUUCGCCGCGCCGUCGCGCGCUGCUCCGGGGCCGAGCCCCUUGCCCUCGCCCUCGCCGCUCCGGGGCCGCCCGCCGCGCUCGCGCCCCUCGUCGCGCCCUCCACGCCCUCGCAAGCCCGUCGUCGCGCCCUCCACGCCGUCACGCCCGUUCGCCGUCGUGCACCGUCCACGCUGAGCAACUAGGUAUAAACUCAUUUUGAGAUUUUAGUUGCUAAAUUUUGUCAAAUAAAUGUUUGAUUGUUGUGAAAUAGAGUUAGUUUUUUUGUGUGUGAUUGUGUAUUGUGAAAUAGAGUUAGGUUUUUAGUGGUCACUUUGCAUGCAUUAGGUAAGUCUUUUAAUUGCACAAAAGAUGUUUAUGCUGCUACUUAUAUUUACAGGCUUUGAAAACCUCCCCGUGCAGGGGAGGUGCUGCCGGAUUUUUUUGUUGAUAGGGUUUGGUUAAAUAUGUUAUAGGAUGGAGGACCGUGAGUGGAUGUACACGGGCCGUAGAGGAAGGAACGAUGUCACCACUGAAUUGAUUAGAAAGACCGAUGAUUUCGUGGAACGGGCAUAUGGCGAUGCUGCUAAAGGAGUGAGUCUAGUCCCAUGCCCGUGCAGCAAAUGUGACAACCAGAAAAGAAAACCAAAGAAGACCAUGGUAGAACAUAUUUGUAAGAAUGGAUUUACGCCGGGUUAUACUCGGUGGAUAUUUCAUGGUGAAGCGCAUCGUACGAGAGAGGAGGUGCUGAGACAAUGUGUCGAGGAUUAUGACGCGGAUGCGGGGGUAGCGGAUAUGUUGAACGACUAUCAGGAGGCACAGUACACGGGAGGAUGUAUGGAUGAUGAGCCAGAGCCGACUGCAAAGGCGUUCUACGACAUGUUCGACGCGGCACAGAAGCCCCUUCACGGCCAGACAAAGGUUUCUCAACUAGAUGCCAUUGGGCGUGUAAUGGCGUUCAAGUCGCAGUACAACAUGAGUAGAGACGCAUUCGAUGGCUUGUUGACGGUUAUUGGGAGUCUGCUUCCGGAUGAUCACGUUCUGCCAAAGAGCAUGUAUGAGGCACAGAAACUACUUCGUGCACUCAAGAUGACGUAUGAGCAGAUUCAUGCUUGUCCGAAGGGCUGUGUGCUAUUUAGGAAAGAAUACGCGGAGGCAAAGUACUGUCCCAAGUGUAAUUCGUCUAGGUUUAUGGAGGUAGAAUCUGGUGAUGGACAGAAGAGGCACCUCGACAUCCCCUUGACAAUCCUACGACACCUUCCGUUCAUACCGAGGAUCCAGCGUCUGUACAUGACAGAGGAAUCCGCGAAACAGAUGACAUGGCACAAAAAUGGAAAACGAUACAAUCCUGACAAGAUGGUGCACGCAUCAGAUGGUGAAGCAUGGAAACACUUUGAUGACAUUCACCGUGAGAAAGCCGAAGAGGCUCGUAAUGUACGUGUUGUGUUGGCCACAGAUGGGUUCAAUCCCUAUGGAAUGAGCGCUGCCCCGUACACAUGUUGGCCCGUGUUUGUUAUCCCAAUCAAUCUCCCCCCUGGUGUGUGCUUUCAAAGGCAGAAUAUAUUCGUGUCGUUGAUAAUUCCCGGACACCCGGGGAACAAAAUGGGCGUGUACAUGGAGCCUUUGAUCGAUGAAUUGGUACGUGCCUGGGAGGAAGGGGUAUGGACGUAUGACCGAGCUACGAAGACAAACUUCAGAAUGCAUGUUUGGUACCAGUACUCCAUGCAUGACUUACCGGCCUAUGGGCUAUUCUGUGCCUGAUGUGUUCACGGUAAGUUCCCAUGCCCAGUUUGCAAGGAAGCUCUCAGGUUCAUUUGGUUGAAAAAGGGUGGCAAAUAUUUGUCCUUCGAUAAACAUCGACAAUUUCUUCCUGCUGACCAUCCAUUCUGCCUAGACAUCAAGAACUUUACGAAAGGUGUCGUAGUGACAGACCGCCCACCUGCAACGAUGACUGGUGCCGAAAUUCGUCAACAGAUAGAUGGGCUCGUGGCCAAUACAGAAGGUGGUUUUGUGGGAUAUGGUGAGCAGCAUAUGUGGACACAUAAGUCUGGCUUGACUCGGCUCCCCUAUUAUGACGACCUGCUCCUUCCACACAACAUUGACGUGAUGCACACUGAAAAGAAUGUUGCCGAGGCACUGUGGGCAACAAUUAUGGACAUUCCUGAUAAGUCAAAGGAUAAUGUGAAGGCAAGAGUGGAUCUGGCAGCGUUAUGUGAUAGACCAAAACUAGAGAUGAAGCCGCCAAGUGGCGGAAAGACGUGGAGAAGGGCUAAGGCCGAUUUCGUCCUAAGCAGGGCCCAGAGGAAGGAAGUACUUCAGUGGAUCAAGAUGUUGAUGUUCCCCGAUGGGUAUGCAUCUAACCUGAGUAGGGGGUGAACUUAUCUACUAUGCGAGUCUUAGGGAUGAAGAGUCAUGACUUCCACAUAUGGAUUGAACGGAUUCUUCCUGCGAUGGUUCGAGGCUAUGUCCCUGAGCAUGUCUGGCUAGCGCUUUCAGAGUUGAGCUAUUUCUUCCGUCAGCUUUGUGCAAAAGAGUUAUCUCGGACCGUUGUUGCAGACUUGGAAAUAUUGGCCCCCGUGUUAUUGUGUAAGCUUGAGAAGAUAUUUCCACCCGGCUUCUUCAAUCCAAUGCAGCAUUUGAUUCUUCAUCUCCCCUAUGAGGCACGAAUGGGGGCCCCGUGCAGGGACGUUGGUGCUAUCCAAUCGAGAGAUAUCUAAAGACUAUUCGAAAGAAAUGUAGAAAUAAAUAGAAAAUCGAGGCUUCCAUUGCAUAGGCAUACAUUCUAGAGGAGGUCUCAAACUUCACAACAACUUAUUAUGGUGACAAACUGCCGAGCGUGCAUAAUCCACCCCCUCGUUACAAUGAUGGCGACAAUGAAUCGAACCUUAGCAUAUUUCGAGGCCAACUCGGAAGCGCAAGUGGCUCGACCACCAAGACCCUGACACAUGAAGAGUGGCGGCAUAUCAUGCUAUACGUAUUGGCCAACCUUGAAGAGGUGACGCCAUACAUGGAACAAUUUCUUCAUGAAUUCUGGCGUCGAUCAAGGGAUCCCACUCCACAGGAAUAUGACACUCUUCUUAGAAAGGGUGCGAGAAAUGGGUUGCCCGAUUUCAUUUCCUGGUUCAAACGUAAGGUACUCGGCAAAGAGCCUAACAUGGGGACCCUCUCUGGCGGACUCUUUGCCGAGUGUCCCAAGUGGCACUCGGCAAAGAUGGAUUCUUUGCCGAGUGCUGCCUGGAAGACACUCGGCAAAGAUAACUUCUUUGCCGAGUGUCACCAGGGACACUCGGCAAAGCUGACGUCUCCGUCACCCGGCGCCGUAACGGCCGCUUUUCUUUGCCGAGUGCUCUCUGGCACUCGGCAAAGAAGUUUGUCGAGUGCCCGAGAAAAAGCACUCGACAAAGAAGGCUUUGCCGAUGCACUGUUUGCCGAGCCUUCUUUGCCGAGUGUUUUUAAGGCUUCGCCGAGUGCUUCAGGCACUCGGCAAAGCGAUUGAUUCCGGUAGUGAUUGAUCAGAGAUGUUUUGUUUACAGGUGAUAAUGAGGAUGAUGAUUUUGAUUAUGAUUAUGGUAAUGGUUUCUGGUAUUCUUUCCGUUUUGAAAGAGUACUUUUGGGUUAACAACUUGGGUUAAUGUUAAAACCUGGCUCUCUACUAGUAAUAAUUCCCUGAUCAACUAAAAGCAACUGCUUGACCUUAACCCCACAUAAAGCUAGUCCACUACAGCCAAACGGGACAUUUGCUGAGUACAUUGAUAUGUACUCACCCUUGCUUUCACAAAACACUAGGUUGCUUUUGGUGCAAUCUAUGCUCAGGUAAAGAAGAAGGCAUCGAGGUGGAUCUCCAGAGUUCCAGGACGUCGUUGAGUUCGAGGAUUAGGCUAGCGACCUCCCCCAGUCAGCUGCCUGUGGUGGGUUUGUUUACGUUGGCUACGUUUCGAUUCUGUGUACUUUGAUUUAUAUUAUGUAAAUGGCACUAGUCUGUAAUAUUAUUACUUACUCUUUAUUGUUAUUCGAAGCAUUGUGCUAUGAUGAGUCAUUUAUGUAAUCGCUGUUACGUGAAUUUCUGAUCCUGGCAUGUACAUGGUUCGCAUUCGGUUUGCCUUCUAAAACCGGGUGUGACACCACCUUAAGCCGAAGCUAUCGUCCUUCGGUGGUAGCUUCGGCAUUUGUCGUUAUAGCUCUCAGAUAAUAUCUUAUCUUCAUCUCGAGGACCUUCAUAGUGUUGAUAAACAAGUCUUUAGGAUUUCUCCCUCCCCUUGUCGGUUUCUUUAUCGCGUGUGCACGCCAUUAAGCCGAAGCUCGCAGCUUCAUUUCCACAGCGGAGGCAACUACAUGUUAUCUUAUACGAAGGUAGUGUUCGACAUUUUUUACCCUGUUAAACCUGAAAUGGACUCAUAAGUAAAUGAUAAGUCAAUGCUUUUUAGGACCUUCAACUAAGGAGGACCCUCAAUAGGCAUUUUCAUCCCUCGCUUUAAACCCUUAGCCUAGAACCCCUUGGACUCAUACAUACAGCCGGGGAUGGAGGAACCUAGACGUAUUUUCACUUUUUUUUACUAAAAAUAUGUAAUACUAUAUUAAGAUUUAUAUAUUCAAUAAAGGACCUACAUGUAUAUUUGGAUAUUUGUAUGUUUUGUAUAUGCUCAUAUCCAUUGCACAUGACUUGUAUGUGCAUAUAUUUAUUAAUGUACUCUGUGUCAAUACCAUAGCUUUGCAUAGAAAGCUAAAAAGAACUGGGUCCAAAGGAAAUAAUUGCCUUCGAGAUAUUAUAUAUAUUACAAGAAAGAUUAAUCGAAGCCCAACUAAGAAAGAUUAUGAAAGUUGACUCUCUGUGUAGCAUGACUGCAUGAGGUUCCACCCCAUAUAGACUAGAUUUUUACUCGUGGUAUGUGCUUUAUAGAAGUUCGUCAAACUUAAGAUAGUUUCCUGUGGGAUAUAUAAUAUACAAAUCUAUGAUAUCUGAGAGAAAGUCGUACAUGGAAAACUUGGCUCACAUGAAAAAAAAAACAUUGAAACGACAGUACAAGACUAUUUGACAAAUACAAGGCCACACAUUUAUUCCAUUAUUAUUUCCUCAUCACAAAUACAAGGCCACACAUUUAUUCUGCAACCCACGCAGGCGUGAGAGAGAGAGAUCAAAUAGACUUGAAGGACAUGAGCUGGCGAUUUUUGCUGGAGUUUGGCAACGGAUCAAACACAACUGCUUGGUAAGACGACGUUGGAUCUUUGGUUGCGAGGUUGAGCUUGUAGUUGGUGCCGGCGACCACCUGUUCCAUGCCACUGACCACCUCGGCGAACUGCAAGCUCUCACCAGUCUGCCUGUUGUGCUCCUUGACAGCCCAUUCGCCGACACCCUGGACAUAUGGGUCCUUGACGUUCUCU